CUACAAAGAAGUUCUAAAAGACUACAAGAAAGAGUUUCCACUAAAGAAAAACAAUGAAACCAUUUCUACUAAAGACAAACAAUGAAACCACAGAUGCUUUGUGAAAUAUGUACCCGCACAAUCCAACAAACUUUAGAAAUUCACAAACACUACCUAGAAUUUUUGCUGACCAGCAAAAAAUUUAUGCAAUUUAAUUCUUAUUGUUAUUAUUAUUUUCAAUGUGAACAAAUAUGAUUGAAUUAUGAAGUAUUUGGCCAGAAGAGGAUCUUGCCUAAUUAUAGUCAUUAAACAACCAUUUAUACCAUAGCCUCUAGACUUUAAAAAGUUUAUAAAACUCAAGGGCUUCCACCCAAUUUCUAGAUAUCUCCAUAACAUUCUUCUGACUAUUAGAAAGCAAUUACCACUUUAAUUUUUCAUUUCAUGAGUGUUCAAUUCAGAAAAAGACCAGGAUCGAACUUGCGAUCAUGCAGUCGAAAAUCCACCUGUGCAUGAAACUAUUGCCUCACGAUUGCAAACUCAAGUUGGAGUCCAGUAACAACUCUAGGUUUGCUGAUGUGCUCCAUUUGAAAUAAAGGAACUAAAGAAUACUUUAUAAAGAUUAAUUACCUUCAUAUUUUAGGUUGGGGUUAAGGCAAAAUGUGAUAGAUUGAGAGGAAGAAAAUAUAUCUUGUUCAGGAAGCCAAUAUUUUGGAGUUCACCUUUCCAUUCGAGUCCACUCUGCUAUAGCAAAAUCAGAGUCACAACUAUGCCUCUUUAAGCUAUCCUUUAAUUGGAUGAAUUGCAGAUUUGGUUGCUGAGAAAGUGGAUAAGAAAGAAAAAUGCAUACUGUAGCUUGAGAUUAAGAGUUUGUUUUCUAAAAUGAGAGAAAGGGAAAGAGAAAAAAUGCAUAUUGUAGCUUGAGAUUAAGGGUUUGUUUUCUAAAAUGAGAGAAAGGGGAAGAGAAAUGUUCGACAACUUUGAGAUGACAAAUUUUUAGAUUUGGAAAAUUUGAGAUGAGUCUCAGGUUUUUUUUUUUUUUUUUUUGUCUUUGUCUUUGUUUUUUUUUUUUUUUUUUGUUUUUUUCCCAAAAACAACCUGUUAAUGUGGUUGUUGACAUAGAAGUGGGUGAGGGCAAAAUGGGCAUAGAAAAAAGAGUCAACACAAAGUGCACAAAACCCAUAUUAUUUUCCACAUUAAUGACUGAUUCUCAUAUUUCUUGUUCUUGGGAUUUGAAAACCAUAUUAUUUGCAAAUGGACCUCCCAAAGCACAGGUUUCCCUUAGUUUUAUGUCUCCAUCUACAUUUUACAUAUAAAUAGAUUAUUUUAUAAAAUUUGUUUUGUAGAUAUAUUAGUUAAUAAUUAUAUAAUUAAUGAUAUAGAAAACAUAUAAAAAUCAUAUUUAAAAAAGAUAAUUACAUAUUCCUCAACAAUCCAUCCCAAGAAUUCGAGGUUGAGUUGAAAACAUGUAGAGUCUUUGAUGUUAUUAUAAUCAUAUCCAACACAUAUGAUUAUUGUUUAUGAGAUAUUAUUAGAAAGUUUGUCUUAAAAUAAUUGAUUUAUUACCCACCUUUAGCAAAUGCCCAUUUUUGCGUCUUUCAAAAUUUUCAUUUUUUUUUUGUUUAAAAGAAGUAUUGUAAAGAAUGAUGAAAUAAGAAAUUUGUUGAGAAAGUGUGAGUAAAUAAUUUUACAUAAAAAGAGAUUUAAUACUUGAUAAAUAAAAUAAUAAAAUCAUGAUUUCUAGUUGUAUAGGGCCGGGUGGAUGGAGUGGCUAAGAUGUAAUUCUUGAAAUAGAGGAGACAACAUCAAUGUAUAAAAGUUUAACAGAGAAGGAAAGUGUGUUUGAAUGACUUUAUUUUCUUCAUUUAAAGUUUUGACGAUGAGUGUUUAUACAAGAUAAAUUUUCAAAUGAUAGGACUCCUAUUUACAUGGAGUUUGUGAUAUACUAUGAUUAUACAAAUUUAAAAUUCAAACAGAUUCAUGAGUUGAUAGGAGUCUGCUCAAUACGCCCCUUCAAAAUGGUGGGAGAUAGCACACCAAUCUUGACUCGAAGGGCCUAAACUCGUGCAGAAGAUGAGGGCUUUGUUAGAGCAUCGACAAGUUGAUCCGUGGUUGACAUAUGGGACACCUUGAGCUCACCUGAUUAAACCUUGUUUCAAACAAAAUGAAAAUCAAUCGCCGAUGUGUUUCAUGGAGAGUGAAACAUGGGAUUUGCACAAAGAUAUGUUGCACCCACGUUAUCACAAGAGAUAGGAGGUGGUGAUAAAUUUGAAACACUAAGUUUUGAGAGAAGAGAAUUAACCCAAAGAACCUUUGAGGCUGUAGAGGCCACGACGUGAUAUUUCGCUUCAGUGGAAGAGCGUGCUAUGAACUUUUGUUUCCUCGAUGACCAAUACACAAGAUUGUGACCAAGAAAAACAAUGGGAGCAUUGGUGGAGGAUCUGACAUAAGGAUUCCUUGCCCAUUCAACAUUCGAAUAUGCAUGUAGAUUGAUGGGCGAUUUCUUAUGCAAGAACAGACCAUGCACCAUUGUGCCGACUAAGUAUCUAAGCAAUCUUUUAACACAAGACCAAUGUGUUGAUGUUGGAUGGUGCAUAAAUUGAGAUAAUUUAUUCAUCAAGAAGGUGAUGUCAGGGCUAGUAAGAGAGAAGUAUUGAAGGCUUCCAACAAUUGACAUAUAUUUAGUGGGACCAGGAAAAGAGGUGUCAUCACACAGAUUUGGAACAUUGUUGAGGAACAUCAAUGAUUGAACUGGUUUGGUAGCCACCAUUUGUGUUUUCUUAAGAAGCUCUCGAAUGUACUUGAGAUAAAAAUAAUCCUUUGGAAGUAUGUAUCAUUUCAACACCAAGAAUAAAAGAUGAAGUCCUGAGAUCCUUAAUGGAGAAUUUGACUGCUAAUUGAGAGAUCACGCGAGCACGAAAAACAUUAUUGUUACUUGUUAAAAUAAGAUCAUCAAUAUAAAUAAGUAGGUAAACAAUGAGACCACUCUUUUUAAAAAUGAAGAGGGAUGUCUCGGUUUAGGAGUUGACGAAGGCUAUUGAGAGGAGAAAUUGGCAAAGUUCAUGAUACCAUGAUCGUGGAGCUUGUUUAAAGCCAUAAAAAGCCUUACAAAGUUGGCAAAUGUGAUGAUGUGUGUAUUCGUGAACCCAGGAGGUUGAAUCAUGUAAACAUCUUCAUGAAGUGUCCUAUGCUAGAAUGCAUUAUUAAUGUCCAAUUCAUGAGUUGAUAGGAGUCUGCUCAAUACAAUGUGGGAGUGUGAUUUCAAAAUUAGGGUAAUUUCGAAAUGGAUUUUGUAUUCACAAGUUGAAUUUCAAAAUUAUUUUGAAAUGGUCUUUUAACUUUAAGCAGUUGUGUUCAAAAGGUCAUAACUUCUUCGUUUCAAUUUUGAUUUACACAUUGUUUAAAACAUUGGACUCUUUACUUCCCGAGCUUCAAAACGAUAUAUAGUAUGCUCAAAAAUGACAUCAGGAUUGGUUCAAAUUUCAUCUUGAUAUUAGAGUACAUGUUGUGAUUAGAUUUUGAGUUCCAAAUUUCCAUGUAAACUUGAUUGCAUUUGCUUCAAACCUCCUUCAUUAUGGUUGCUUGCCCUCUAUCUCACUUUGCAACAUUUGUUACUAGUAUUUUAUGUCCAUGACUUACUCAUUUCAACCUUUCUUGGAUUCUUCAUGGUUCACAAAUUAUGGAUUCUUCAUGGUUCACAAAUUGAGUCUUUCAAUUAUGCAUGUUUAACUCCUAUUUCCUUGGUUGAUAAUGACUUUUACACUUAUCAUUUUCUUUUAUUCUUUAAACCUGAAUUUAGACUUACAAAAAAAAGUUAGAUCCAUAACUAGGGUCUUAGCAUCAAUUUGAGUUAAGUUGGAUGAUUUGAAAAUUUUAUAUUACAUAAAUCAUAUCAUACAUGUGCCAUUGGAGUGCACAUUUUGGCUCUAAUCAUGUUCCAACCCAUUGUUUUACUCUUGCAUGAAGUAUGUGGCCAUUGAUUUUAAUUUUAUUUGCGAUUAGGUUCAAAAUGGUGCUUUUGUGUUGCUCAUGUGUCAUCAGAAGAUCAACUAAUGGAUUCUCUAACAAAACUACUACAUCAUAGUCAUUUUUUUUUUUCUUAAGACCAAGAUUGAGAUCUCCAAUCGGAGCCAACUCCAUCUUGGGGGCAUGUUAGUGAAAGAUAAAAUUUAUCUUUAAUUUAAAUAUUAAUAUUUAUCAGUUAUUAGUUUUAAUUAGAGUAAAAGAUAGAGUUUAAAUUGGAGUAGGAGAUAAACUUGUGUUUGAACUAGAAUAGAAGAUAAAGUAUAAAGAUUUAUGUUUGAAUUAGAAUAAAAUAUAAAGUUUGAAUUAGAGUAGAAGAUAAACUUGUUCUUUAUUUGUAUAUAAAUAUUCAUCAAUUCUUGAGAAGAAGAUUAUUUCAUAGUUUUUCUAUCUUCUUUUUUCUUCAUACAUAUCUGCAAGAAAUUGAAGAUUUCAAGUAAAAUAUUUUCUGUUUUAAAUAGUGAAAAAAGCUAGAAAUUCACUUUGUUAUCUCUUGGGGUAAAUUGACAAGGUUUAACGUUAAGAAGGUGAAUUAUUUUUUCAGAAAAACUGAAGUAGCUAGGAUAUCUGGCCAGUUGUGAUCGAUAAAAAAGUUGUAAAAUCUCUCAUAUACUAAACAGGUUUUGGAUGUUGGUAUGGUAAAUCCAUCUGCAGUCAUUCGUCAUCUCAUCUAGUGAGAUGUUUGGGAGGUGGUGACCGCCGGAUUGGGUUUCAUUUGGUUAAAUCUGUCAGUGGGUUGGCUACUACCCGAGCCUCUUGCUUUGGGGGAGGUGGGUUCUAGAUAUAAUGUUCAAACCAUUUUAGUUAUCAUAUGCAUGACAUGUAAGCAUAAUCUCUUUAUCACUUCUUCAAUGGGAGUUCAUGGUUAGGAAUUGACUUCUUUUCUUCUGGGAUGCUUGGCAUGUAAUGGACAAAGUUACUUUUAUAUCGAUCGAAUUUCUAGUAUUAUAGUGAAGACUUACCCUUUUGACAUUUUAUAUCGAAUUAUAGAAGAUGAAAGGGACAUACAUGCAAUCGACUGACGCUUUAGUGAAUAUGCUGAAAAUAUGCUGAUGCUGUGGAGAUCGUAUGAGGACAGAGGAAAAAGAUAGAAAUGGAUAUAUAAUUAGACCUAGGUUUUUAUUAAAUGAGAUGGGGAACAUAGAGUGAGGGAAAAUCAAAAUUUUUGGCUGCAGUUCACAUUGGUGAUAUUUUGGAUUGACAAAGACUAACGACUUUUCUAUUUUUCUUUUCGGCCUGACUGGAUAGUUGGACAUGGACAAUACAGAAUCCACAGAAGGAUUGUUGGGACCGCUGAAAAUUAGCUAGAAGAAGCUGAGGAAGUAGUCUACGUAGUCAAAUACCAAACACAAAGAAAGAAAGAAAUGGAUAUCAUGGAUGCCUAGAGUUAUACUCCUAAUACCGUCACAGGUAUUUUUCUUUCCUCCUUUUUUUUUCUACGAUAAUUAGAGCAUUUCUCCUCCUCCUCCUCCUCCUCCCCCCACCCCACCACCAAAAAAUAAAAAAAUAAAUUAUUGCAAGUAACACUUCAAAUAUUAAUUUAUACAUUCUAAAGUAUAUAUUCAUGAAAUAACUUGAGUAUCAUACAUUAGUUCUCAAAAAAAAAAAAAAAAAAAAAAAAAAAUUACUGGAAGAGAAAAGUUUAAGAAAACAUAAAAAUAUUCAACUACUAUUUUAAAGAGAAAAUUUAAUUUUUACACUAUAAAUUUGAAGAGAACUUUUACAUGCAUCUUAUAUAAACUACCAUUUUUUGCUAAAAGGCUUAAAUUUGUCAAAAAUACCCCUUAGGUGCUUAACGUUCUGGUCAUAAUAUAAUUGGCAUCUUUUCUCAAACAUAAGGCCUGUGUGUGGGAACAAGAUUUAAUGUUAAUGAGCUUCGCCACCGACAUUUAGUUCCAGAAAUCAUUAUUUUAAUAGAGUGGGCUCAAUUUACAACUUUAAUUAAACUCUAACCAACUGCAUUGUGAAAUGAAUAUGUUUCUUUCGUGGUGAAUCCAAUGAGUUGGGAGUCAAACUUUGCUUCAUUGUGUAUAGAUGAAAUGUUAAGACUCCAUGUAACCUCAAACAUUUCCGCAAUNNNNNNNNNNNNNNNNNNNNNNNNNNNNNNNNNNNNNNNNNNNNNNNNNNNNNNNNNNNNNNNNNNNNNNNNNNNNNNNNNNNNNNNNNNNNNNNNNNNNUUCUUUCGUGGUGAAUCCAAUGAGUUGGAGUCAAACUUGCUUCAUUGUGUAUAGAUGAAAUGUUAAGACUCCAUGUAACUCAAACAUUUCCGCAAUGAGCGGGAGUUCUAAAUUUAAUAAUUGAAAUUGUCAGUGGAACCAGUGGACAAGAGUUGGUUUGUGGUUGACAAACUUAUCCGUUUGAUCUUUACUUGAACAGUUCCAGUGUGUGGAUGGGUACUGAUGAAGUGUGCGCAUUUAUUUUGAGAAGCCUGCUUGUUCGCAUAGAUUUUAACGACAUGAACAUUGUGGUAAGGUUAGAGAGUAAUGCGAAUGUAGGAGCUUAUAUUAGAAAUGACACAAACACGUAAAUAGAAGUAAUCUAUAUAUGAUAUUACUCAUGGACUACAAGCAAAGAAGUACAAUACAUGGAGUAAGUGAUGAAAUGAGCAUUCCUCACUACUACUGCUUGACUGAUGGAACAUGAUGCACGAGAUAGCAUAAGUAGUAGUAGGAAGCAGCUCUUAUUUGUGGCGUCGGUAUACAUCAUACUAGGUAGAUGGUUCAAUUGGCAUGGAUGGGUGGUGGAGCCUUGAAGUGCUUGUGAUGGGGAGCCCACGGCUUCUUCUCAGGAGUUGGUGGCUUCUUGUAUGGAGUUGAUGGAGGUGUUUCUACUGGAGGGUGGCCAGGGUAGUGACCCUGGGGUGGUGAAGGUUCUUUUGUCGGUGGUGGCCUCACUAUUAUUGGCGGUAGAGUUGGUGGCUUGGGCGUUGGCGGUGGUCUCACUACUCUUGGGGGUAGAGUUGGUGUCUUGUGUUUUGGUGGUGGAGGUGGCUUAACAGGAGUUGGUGGCUUGUAUUCUGGGGGUGGUUUCUCCACCGGAGGUGGCUUAUAAACUGGAGUUGGUGGCUUGUAUUCUGGGGGUGGCUUCUCCACUGGUGGUGGCCUGUAAACAGGGGUUGGUGGCUUAUAUUCUGGGGGAGGCUUCUCCACUGGAGGCGACUUAUAAACAGGGGUUGGUGGCUUGUAUUCCGGGGGUGGCUUCUCUACGGGAGGUGGCCUGUAAACAGGGGUUGGUGGCUUCUCCACCGGAGGUGGCUUAUAAACGGGGGUUGGUGGCUUGUAUUCUGGGGGUGGUUUCCCCAGUGGUGGAGACUUGUAAACAGGAAGAGGUGGUUUGUGCUCAUAUGGGGGUGGCUUGUGGUCAUUAGCAAGUGAGGGAGUGGUGAGGACCACCAAUCCAAGGAACAACACGAGUGAGCAAGCAGAAGACAUGUUUGGGCUCUGGUGAUGCACAAGUAGAAGAAAUGGGAACCAUUUAUAAUGCUUCGAGACCUUGGUUAGCACCAAAAUAUGUCAAAAUCUUGAUUACUUCAUUUCAUACAUAGAUUUAAAAUUAUUUCAAUCAACCAUGAUCCUUAAUUUUCUGGGUGGUCCAUAAAUGUAAUGGGGUCAAUUUGGGACCUAACAAGCUGAGAAGUUUGACAAUGCUGCAAGGCUUCAUCCGAAAGUCCGGGGAAGAAUAUUAGGAGUUACACUCCGUUUCCUUUUUUGGGUGCAUUUUUCUCCUUUAACAUUCUAUUCCCUUUUACAUUAGCAUUUGAUCUUAGCUCAUUUCAAGUACAAGUUUCUUGAACCCUAUACCAUUGUCAAAGUUGAGUAACCAUCUCUACUUUGCUCAAGAAACAUAAAAGACAAUGACAAUAAAGAAAAAGGAGAGAGACCAUACGUGACUUGGUUUAUAGGUGGCUUUGUGUUGACAUUUGAGUAUGGAAGCCGACAUGCAUCUUAGCUUCGAUUUUAAUUAAAUUUGUACAUUAGUGUCUGUGUCAUUCAUUUUGGUAUAAAAGGUCUCUUGAUUUCGUAAGUUUGGUAAGAACCGUUGAAAAUAGCAGUAGCAGCACAUGGUCCACUUUCUUUCACAAAAUAAUUUUAAAAGUUUAGAAGCAUAGGAGGUAACAUUAGUGGCCUUGUGGCUCAGCCACGAGUACUAUGUGGUGCUCGAGAAAUUGAGUUUAAUUUCCUUCCGAUAGUUCAUGAUAAGGUCCGUCACUGUCCUGAGACAGAUUGCGUUUUUUCUUUUUUCCUUUUUUAGUGUUUUAUUGACUAGCUAGGUGUGACUUUUCCUACUUUAAGGCACGAGGCAGAAAAGAAACUGGGAUUUAGUGCUUAAGAAGGCAAAUUUAAUUCGAUUUGGAUCUAAAAUUUGCCAGCAACAUGAGAUUUUCCAGCCUAUCGUUGCUCCACAUAUAGACAAGGCACUUGUAGAAGUGGCUUGUUUGUAGCCAUUCCCGAUAUUUGGACUCACUUGAUUCACCGGACACUUUGAUAAAAUUUAAUAUUUAUUAUUUAAUAAUUUAAAUUGAUUUAAAAUUAAAUUAUACCGAAGUUGUGAUUUAAAAAUUAUUAUUUAAUUCUUACUUUUAAAUAUGAAGAUUAUUUGAUAAAAAUAAUUUAAAAUUUAUUAUAAAUUAUCAAAUUAACAUAUUUAUCCUUAUAAAUUAUAAUUAAAACAGAAAAGGUCAAAUGAUUUGAGUAUCCAUAGAUGUGGUAAAAUAAUAAAAAAGAUUAUAAAAACAAUUAUGAUAAAUAAAGAUAAAAAGUAAAAUGAAUAUGUGAAUUUAAAGAAUAAAUUAAUUAUUUUUAUUUAUUACUUAAAAUUAUUUUUGACUUUAAAUUAUAUUAUUAAAUUAUUUUACCAAACAUACUUAAUUUAGUUAAUAAUUUAAAUUUAAUUUAAGUUAUUAAAUUGAUUCACCAAAUACCCACUUAAUCAAAGACUGAAGUAUACAUUAUUUGGCCAAAUGCAGCUAUUGAAAUUUAACUUUUUCCAAACUUAUUCAUUUUGUGGAAAUAUUUUUAGAAAUGAUUUUAAAAAUGCACUAUUCUGUGUGUUGAUUUUAUAUUUUGGCAUUAAUCCAACAUAGAAAACGGUUCUUAUUUUCGCUGUUAAAUAGGUACCAGAUCCUUAAUUAGUGCCGUGAAUCCGGCAGCUUCCAAUGAGUAAUUUGGACUUGGGUAUUGACAAUGUGUGGCCAUGCUUCUACUAUUUUAUUAUUCUUGAAACAUAUAUGAUAUAUUGGACUUUAUACAGGGAAAAAAAAAAAAAAAAGUCUUCACCAAAAAUGAUUCCUCCUAAAAAAUAGACUCCACAAACUAGGUUUAACAGGAAAAUGAUUCUAAUCUAGUAGUUUCCAGCCACAUGAGCAUUUACGUAACAAUAGUAUAGUUGAUAACGACUUUUAUUUUAUUUAUUUUUAAAUAGUUAAAGGGAUAAUUUUUGAGCUUAAAUUUUAUUUUUUUAUUUAGAAACAUUUUACUUUAUUUUUUAAUCAUAAUUCUAUUAUAUUAAUGUUUUAUUUUCUAUUUUUUAAUAUAUAAGGAGAUACUAAAUUUAUGUGAUUAUUUUUUAAAAAUUUAGUAUAUGAAAUUAAAUAAUUGGAUAUAUAUACAUAUAUCAUAUAAUGUUUUUUAAGUGUGAUUUUUGAACUUUUUAGUCAUUUUAUAAGUUUAAGCUUUUGAUUUUUUUUUUUAAACUUUGGUAUUUUUUAUUUUAUAUAAAACUAUUUUGAUUUAAUUUUAUUAAAAAAUAUUGGUAUUAUAAAUUAUUGUAUUAAUUAUUUUUUUAUAUUAUAAUGUAACUGGUAUAUACUAAAAAAUGUAUGCAAGUUCAAUUUAAGUUUCAAAUUAAAAAAUUUCAUUUAAAUAUUUAAUAACUUGUUCAUAAUAAAAAAUUAAACAACAUAAUACAAAUGAAAAGAAACAUAAAAGAAAAAGGAAAAAAUGGUCCUCUCUGUGUGUCACAUUACUAGGUCAUCCUCUUUUUCUAUGACCCUUACAAUAGAAUGGCAUAUUUGUCAAAUCUACUUAUGAAAGUUGGAAUGUUUCUACAUGUGUAGGGUCCAUUGGAACUAAUGGAGGAAAGGCUUAACGUCUAUGUAAAUCACAACGUUGCCUAGGUGGGCAUAGAUCUAGUUGUGUAACAUGAGAUGGUGUGAGAGUACAAUAUAUGCAUUGUAGUCUCUAUGGGAAGAGAGAUAGGUAAUGGUAGGGUGGUAGACGGUAGGGUGAUCUCUAAUAUAAUGACAUUUGAUGUGGUGGCUUCUAAGAGAGGAGAUAUAAGAGAUGGUAGAAUGACAUUUGGUGUAAUGGUCUCUAGUGCAAUGACAUGUGAUAUGGUGACCUAUAAAGAAGAGAUAUAGGUGAUGGUGAAGUGGUAUGUGGUGUAGUGACCUUUGAGAUAGAAAAUAGAGGUAAUGGUAGGUUGGCAGGUGGAGUGGUCUUUGGUGUAGUGACAUCAAUUAUAAAUGUCUCCAAGGGAGGAAAUAAAGGUGAUGGUAGGUAGUAAAUGUUGAGGUGGUCUUUGAUAUGUUAUGCUCUAAGAGAGAAGGUAUAGGUAAUGAUAAUAGGGAAUUUGACAUAGUGGUGUUGGAAAUAAAAAGUGAAAGUGACCGUAGAGGUGAAAGGGCAAGUGUAAAAGCCUCAAGUACGAAUGGAGUAAUUAAUGUGGAUGGUGCUAACAUAGUCUUAGGUGGAUACACAAAUAGUCAUAGUCAUCAACUAGCUUGCCCACCAUCUGUCUUUCUGCUAGUGAUAGGUUACAUCUUAAUAGUAAUGGCCAACAUAAGUGGUGUGGAUCCGAUUUUUUUACGUGUGUCCCCACUCAAUCGACAAGACUUAUUUUUUAUUAGUGAAAAAUUAAUUUUGGAAAAGUUGGAGUCACCACUUAUUUUAUUUUAUUUUAAAAAGGAAAGUAAAACAAGAAAGAGAACUCUAAAGAAGUGACUUCAUAGUUUUGGAAAAGUUAGUCUUAAAAAAUCCAAGUCUUGGUCCGGAGAUCAGGUUACUUAUUGGGAAGAUACCUCUAAGAGGUAAUACCCCUCUAAACCCUAAAGAAGUCUCUAAUGACUAAGUUGAGGAGAAUGUGGUAAUUAAUUAAUUGAUUGAGGGUACCUAGGUAGACUAAGGUGAUUUCAGAAUUAACAUACCAAGCUAGAAAGUCCAAUCAUGAUCAUAAAAGAGAGUCAAAGUAUGUACCUGAACUGCUUCUCAAACGCUAUCAUAAAACAUCAAAGUUAGUAUAGAAAUAUAACACAUAAUAUUUGUUUUAUCCAAGCAAAUAAAGCAUACAUCUAAGCACCCAAGAAUCACAUCAAGUAUGGAUAUAGUCAUCAAUAGCAUACGUGUCCAUAGAACUAUCGAAAGUAAAUGUGGAGGAGCGUAUCUGGACAACAUAGAUAACUUAUAAUGUGCUUCCACAAGACAUGGGGGUUAGAUAAAAGUUAUAAUAAUAAUUAGUAAAUGAAAGAAUUCUAGCAUGUUUGGUAUCUAAAUAACAUAGCAAAAAUGAACAAGAGUACACGAAAACAUCAAUUAUCACACGAGUCAUAUUGGCUAGUAUUUAAUCAAUAAACCAACAAUAAAUGACUAUAAACAUAUAAAAUGACAUAUUCAAAGAGACCCAAACAUAAAGAGCCUAGAACACAAGCUUACACUAAAUUUAGAAAACUAAAACAUGGAAUUUUAAAAGCAUAAAUUAGCAAACAAAUUGAUGGAAACUAAAUUUAGAUAACUUAAGAAUAUUUUUCUUAUCCUUCAAUUUAAAUCAGUAAGCCAACAAUAAAAAAUUAUAGAAACAUGGAAUAUCAAGAUCAAUGGGAUACCUAAACUAUAAUUUUUAAAAGAAAAUAAACUAAGCAUAAUAUCUACAAAGCAACUAAACUAACAUUUUUUUAAAAAUAAAUUAAACAUGACAUUAAUGGAGUAACCAAACUAAAUUAAAGUAAACUAAAAACAUUUAUGAAUUUUCAAACAUGGAAUCAGCUUUCUUAGUAAAUUAAAAUUAUUAAAAUAAAAUCUAAGCUUAAAAAUGAAUUAAAUACUAACUAAAGCAAAUCUAAAACCAAAUAUUUAACACAUAGGAUCAAUUAUAUUAACAAACUAAAAUUUUAUAAGAACACUUAAACCUAAAGUUGAAUUAAAAACUAACCAAUUUUUAAAACUAGAUCUUUAACCCAUAGGAUCAAUUAUAUUAACAAAUAAAUAAUAAAUAAUAAAUAAAUAAAACUCAAACCUAAAGAUGAACUAGAAAUGUACCAAAGUAAAUUCAAAACAAGAUCUUUAACACAUUAGAUCAAUUAUAUUGACUAACUAAAAAAAAAAAAAAAAAACACUCAAACCUGAAACGAUGUAUUAGAAACUAACCAAAGCAAAUUUAAAAUAGAGUCUUUAACACAUAGGAUCAAUUAUAAUCACUAACUUAAAUUACAAUUUUUGAAACAUGAACUAAUUAGUGUUGGAUUAAUUAAACUAAUUAACUAAAAAAAACUAUAAACUAGAAUACGGUGAAUCAAGAAUUCAAAUCAACAAACAUAAAAUAUGGGUACAAUGAAAUGAAAAUCUAUUAAACUAAUAAGACGGAAAUAUGACAAACUCAUGAACCCACAUUUUGAUCAACUAGGAAAUAGAAAUUAAUAGACCUGUAGCAUGGAUACAAUGAAAUGAGAUCAGUUAAAUUUAUUUGCCGAAAUUCUAAAAAACACAUACACUCAAAUAAGAUCUAAAUCUAAGACCAAGCAAAACUCAAACUUUCUCAAUCUAAUGCAAUGAAUCAAAACUAAAAUUAAAUAGAAAUCAAACCAUUUUUUUUUUAUCUAAUAUAAUAAAUCAAAGCUAAAACUAAACAAAAUCGAAUUUUCUUAAUUUAAUAUGAUGAGUCAAAGCUAAAAUUGAACAAAGUUCAAACCUUUAUAUAAUGGAUCAAAGUUAAAUCUAAAUGAAAUCCAUACUUCCACAAUUUGAUAUAACAAAUCAAAAAUAAAACUAGAUAAAAAAAAAGUCAAAGCCUUUCAACUUGACAUAGUGAAUCCAAACUGAAACGAAACAAAAUUUUAACUUUUCCAAUGAAACCCAAUAUAGAAAAAAUUAGCUUACCUUCUUUAGAAUAUAUGUAUGGGCCAUAAAGAAGUCACCUUGGUGCAUGUGUUCCUCACUUUGACGCCAAUGGACGACUUUCUAUGGUAGCAAAUGGAGAUCCUUUUUGGUGGUAACUUGCGUGUGGAAACCUAUGGUACAACCAAUGUCAUCUUUUAUUGUGCGUGUGGACCAAUUUCUUCUCGAGAACUCAUGUGUGUUGUGCUCAAAAUAUGUUGCCUGUGAGAAUCUAUUGGUAUACCCCACAUAUGGUUUCCUUGAGAGAAUCUGUGGUUGUGUGUGGGCGUUUUCUUCAUGACAGCAUGUGGAUGUUCCCAUCUAUGGUAGAUUGGUUGUGAUGCUUUAGUGCAUGGUCUCCAUAGGAAUAGUGUGUUAUGGAAAUUUGGUUUUUUUAUUGGUGCAUGUUGUCUAGACUUUCCCAUAUGCGUGGACUGUGUGUUCAUGCUUUUCUUUUCGGAUGGUCGCCUGUGUUAAUGUGUGGCGGUGUCUACAAUGAAAGAUACAACCCUUUCUCUCCUUCUGCGUGAUAGAAAAGUCAAUCCCCCAUGGUGCGACUAUGUUCCCUCGUCCUUUUUGAAAAAUUUUGGUGUUUUCCCCCCAAAAAAUCCCCUCCAAAAAUCUAAUUAUAAAUGUCUGCUUUGGCCUAAUGUGUGUGCUACUUUUUUUUUCCUUCUUUUUAUGGUUGUGCGUGCUUUUCUUGAUACGUGGCUUAUUUCUUAAGGAUAUGAUUCGCUCCCAAUUGGUGUCUCAGCUGAUUCAUGUCCUUUCAAUGGUCCCUGACAGUGGUGCCAUUUGAUUCGUGUCCAGCUGGUGUCCCUUGAUUGUGGUCCUCAGAAGGGAGUAAUCAAUAAAAUUUAUAACCUAUUACACCAUGUAUUAGGAUAGCCUUAGCUAGCAUAGCAUAGUGGCUCUAGGGUCGUUUAUUGGGAUGAGUUUUCACUUCACAAUUGAUAUUAAUUCAAGAGCUGAAUUGGUGCCUUUUCAUUUCAAGGUUAGCUUUAAAAGAAAACAUAAUCUUUGGUGGAAAAAGGUUUGGUUUUAAACUAACCAAAAAUAGUAACUGAUUUUACUUACAAAGAAAAGUGUUCUUUGGAGUUUAGAUCACUAGGCUCAGGUUCCUCAUACAAAAAGGAGAGUUCCGAUCAUUUGUUUCUUUUCCUCGCAUUAGAGAAUUAACAUAUAGUUAAUUCUCUAACCGGUGCGGUACAUAUGCUUCCCAUUAAUGGGUUCAAACACUAAAUACCUCUCACUGAUGCACCUUGCAAUGGCUCGUGCCUCUCACCUAGCAUUUAUCAUUCAAGGUGAUCUUUAACCUUGGAUUACCCAUCAAAAGCUCGCAAGAGAUAACUAAAGGAUGUCUCCUUAGAGUCCAAAAGCUUACCAAGUGUUGGUUAUUCUAGAAAAUCCUACCUUCAAACCACCUCCCAAAGGCUCGCAAGAGAUAAACAAGUGCAUCUCAAUGGAUGAAGAUCACUUGCCUUACCAAGUUUUGGCCCAGAUGAUUUAAUGACAUUUUAAGUUAACUAAAAAGAUAAAAACCAUUAACGGGUCACACUUUCUCUUCAUUAAAAACUAAAACAACAAAACUUCCAAUUUAUGCAUGAGGAAACUUACCUGGCUUUCUUCACUUCAAGAGAUGAAGAGCCUAGCCACUCAUCAUUUGAGGAAAAAUCCUCAGAGUUUGAUUUGCUAGAAAUAAAAAUAAUGAGAAAACAAAAAUAUAUAUAUGAAAAACAGAGCAAGUUCUCUGUAAUAUAUUUUUCUUCCUUAUACAAAAGGUUGUCUCUAAGAACAAGUUCCCGAGAUCUAUCUGAUUGUAAAUAAAAUUACAACUAUAUAUAAGAGGUUAUUCACCCCUUUGUUCUUUCUUAAAGACUAAGGAAUCCUAUGAUAGGUGGGUUACAAGGAGAGUUUGGGGAUUUAGACAUCAAAUAUCUAAAGCAAAAUAUCUCAAGAUGUUAGUCGGAAAUAUCAGGAAGCUUCAGGAGAACACCGCGACACUGUAUACUGAGAGAAAAACUCUCCGGGUAAGCUCUAUCAAAGGAUCCAGACAUGUCUGACUGGGAAAGUUGAAACGUCCUUCUCUCCCAUCCGGAUGUGAGAUAUCCGGAGAAAGUGAAAUGUCGGUCGGACAGAAUUCUUUCCCCGGGUGGAAUGAGUUGUGUUGCGCGUCGCAAGGGGGACCGUCUGCGUGUACAAGUUGUAGGGACCCCUCUCCCGGAUGACACCGAGCGCGUAAGGCUAUCCGGAUCAACUCCAUUCGGAUUCCCCAAGAGGACAUGUGGCGUGCUCCCCUAUCAGGACUCCCUUAGGGAGAAGCACACGACACUCGUGAACAUCAUACCCGGACGAUAGCAUGUCCUAUCCGGAUGUGUUGUCCGGAUCAUUGACUAAAGUGAGCAAGCCUUGCUACGUCAUUCGGACAGCUUGCCACAUACCAUGUUCCGUCGCCAUCUGAUGGUGUGUCCGAACGCCUUGUCCGGACAUCUUUUGCUCCUUGCAUUCCGGAUUUGCUUAUGACAAAGGACUUCAAAGCUUCGGUUCUUCAUGUUUCUGAGCUUUCCAUUGCUUUGCCAUGGAUUCCAAAGAACUCUCCUUAAUCACGGAUUGCUUUGGUGAUCAAAAAGUUAUCAAAACACAAAAACUUAACAUAGUUUGAUUAGAAUUGAUUGCAAGGGUUCUUAAUAUGUUAAUUGGGUUAAAAGGUGAUAACUACUACUCAAAAGUGUUUAUAAGAAUUAAUUACAAGCUAUGAAAUAACACUUUUUGAGUAGUAAUCAGGAUACAUCCUAGUUUUUCAUGGAAUUGAUAGUGGGUUGUUGUGCAUGAAUGCCACCAUUUCAACUAUGCUGUUGUUAUUUUUAAAAAAAAUAUGGAUUAUGCGCGAGUGGCAAUUCUCCACUAUGGAAAGUGGAUUGCUCCUUCAACCCAUGCAUGGCUACGUAUUCCUAUGUCUUUCUACUUGUGUUUGAUCCUCCAAAAAAAAUUUCGGUUUAGUGCUAGUAGAUUUUAAGUGGUGGAUCCCCAUUUUUUGAAAAUGAAGUGGCAGCCUCCCAUUUCAAGACAAAAUGGUAGCCUGCCUUUAAUCUUUGGAGAAAAAUCUGUGCAUGACCUUUUUUUUUCCCAAAAAAUCCGUGCAUGGUGUCCUUUAAUAUUUGGAGAAAAAUCUAUGUUGGAUCUUUUCUUUUCUAGAAACAUUUGUGUGGUCUUUUUUGUUAGCCCAAGGGUUCUUCUAAUCAAGUUUUGAUGAUAACAAACCAUGGUUAAGUGACUAAUUGGUUUAAUGAUUAAGAAUCUCAAACAUAAAAUCGAAAAUUCAUCAAAGGACCAAAUGGAUACAAGAUCGAGACGCUUGGAAGACUUGUAAUCAUAGGAAACUAAUGUAAGAUGAAUGCAUGAGUGCACUUAGGAUUUUCACACGUUUCAUGCAACUUAGAAAACCCAGUUUAUUCUUUAAAACUUCAUCCCAGUUUAUUCUUUUUAUGGUUGUGUGUGCUUUCCUUGAUACGUGGCUUAUUUAUUAAGGAUACAUCCCAGUUUUUCAUGGAAUUGACAGUGGGUUGUUGUGUGUGAAUGCCACCAUUUCAACUGUGCUGUUGUUAUUUAAAAAAAAAAAAAAUGGAUUGUGCGCGAGUGGCAAUUCUCCACUAUGGAAAGUGGAUUGCUCCUUCAACCCAUGCAUGGCUACGUAUUCCUAUGUCUUUCUGCUUGUGUGUGAUCCUCCAAAAAAAAUUUUGGUUUAGUGCUAGUAGAUUUUAAGUGGUGGAUCCCCUUUUUUUGAAAACUAAGUGGCAGCCUCCCAUUUCAAAACGAAGUGGUAGCCUGCCUUUAGUCUUUGGAGAAAAAUCUGUGCAUGACUUUUUUUUUCCCAAAAAAUCCAUGCAUGGUGUCCUUUAAUAUUUGGAGAAAAAUCUAUGUGGGAUCUUUUAUUUUCUAGAAAAAUUUGUGUGGUCUUUUUUGUUAGCCCAAGGGUUCUCCUAAUCAGGUUUUGAUGAUAACAAAUCAUGGUUAAGUGACUAAUUGGUUUAAUGAUUAAGAAUCUCAAACAUAAACUCGAAAAUUCAUCAAAUGACCAAAUGGAUACAAGAUCGAGACGCUUGGAAGACUUGUGAUCAUAGGAAACUAAUGUAAGAUGAAUGCAUGAGUGCACUUAGGAUUUUCACACGUUUCAUGCAAUUUAGAAAACCCAGUUUAUUCUUUAAAACUUCAAUUUCAUUAAAACCCGAGUUUUUAACUAAUGUACCUUAGGCAAAAUGUUUUAUAAUUGGCUUAAUAAUUCACCUAAAUACAUUUUCUAAGUGUUAGAAAAGAAAGGAAUUAAAAAAAGGUUUUCGGGGCAAAAAAGGCUCAACCGGUCGAGGCUAUGGUCAACCGGCUCAACCGGUUGAGGAACCAAUCGAUCGGUUGUGCUUGUCCGAUCGAAGACCAAUCGAGGGAUGCCAAAAAAUUUCUCUCUCUCCUAGUGGCCUUCUCUUCCCGGUCGAGGUUCGGUCUAGGCAACGGUAACAUGUCAAGCAUUAAAUGCUCCGACGACUAGUGAAUCGGUCGACCCCUAGCCCGAUCGGACGAGGUUGCCUUUUGCUGUUUUUGACUCCCGAGCUUAGAAACCUAUAAAUUGAGAGCUCCACUUCAUUUAUUGAUAAAAGAGAACACUUGCAUUCAAUAGUCUACCUACCUUUUCUUGAUCAAAAAGCUCUCAUUUCCUUCAUAGUGCAUUAAAUCAUCACUUGCAUAUCCUUUAGUGCACUAUUGUGUGUCAUCCUAGCUUUGUUUUGUAUUUGAGCUAUCCUUAAGCUAGGUUGAGGGAUUAUUUCUUAUAAAAAUCUGAGUGUUAAAGCCUUCAAGAGAUUUGAAUCUUGAAGAGAUUGUGUAAGAGCCCAUUGGAGCCGGAGUCCAAGUGUAAGAAGAUUGGAAGCUUGGUUGAAGCUUCAAGUUAGUGGAACCCUCACUCGGUUAGGAGGUUGAGGAGAGUGGACGUAGGUAAGGAAGUGUCGAACCAUUAUAAACCCGAGUUUGAAUUCUCUAACUCUAUCUCUUUAUUUUGCUUAUAUUGUGUUUGAAUUUGUUGUGAUUGAAAAGAUUUUAAAAACCUAAUUCACCCUCCCCCCUUUUGGGUUUUUUUUUCUUAAUUAAGCAUAACCUUUGUUUUCUAAUUUUCUUUUUAGGAAAAUCCAUGCGUGGUAUGUCCAAACUCUCCAAGUGGCAGUCUGCCUUCUUCUAAAAAAUUUGUUUCUAUUUCUUUAUUCGACUACCUUCCAUGUCUUCCUAAUGAGUGCUUGUGCUCAAUGGUCAAUCCCUGGUGGUUGCCUCCUUUUCCCAUAUAUACGUGUUGCAAAAUCAACAUCCCACUAUAUGUGGGUUGCCUCUAUGGCAAGUUCACAUUUCCCACAUGAAACCUAUGAGUUUCCACCAAAAAUUGCCAUGAAAAAGUCUUUAUAUGCAUCUCAUGCAAUAAAAAGUCAAGCCAAUACUCAUCUUAUCUCGAAAAAUAAGUAACCAAAAUCAAGAUCAUGCCUAAGUGAACUAUGCCAAAAGAAGUGUCCAAGUGACCUAUUAUGAAAAAAGUGCCUAAGUGACCUAAGGUGAAUGUGUGUAAGCUGGAAGGUGUCUAGGAUGUUUAGGACAAUGCCUAAGCCUAAAAUAGGGUUGCCAAGGGUCACAAUGGGGUUAGAUAAAUCUCUCAAUCAGAGUCUCCAAGGUGGCUCAUAAAAGAUAAGCUACACGAGUAAUGAUGGGCCACCAGGGAAUUAUUGUAAAGCACCAAACGAACACAUAAUAGGACAUGUGUUAGAAUGAAAAAAUGGAGGGUUUACAAGUGGUCUCAUGGAUGAGCUUGAUAAUUUAAAUGACUCACAUAAUGAACGUAUGUGAUGUUUCUCUCCAAUAACAAGCAAAACAUCACUAGCAAUAUGAUGAAUGUCUCCUAAAUCACUUGAAGUAGUCCUAGCAAAUCAAUUAGAAAAAUCACACAUAUUGCUCUAAUGUAAUAUUAUAUACAUCUGUCAAUGAAUGGGAGAACUAAUGACACAACCAUCAUGUUGAUAUCUCGAACCCUCUAAUCUCAUAUGUAGGUGGGAUCACACUUAGAAACUCAUAACACAGUAAUGACCAAUCUAAGUCAAAAUGUGUUGGUGAUCGGAGGCCCAUGAAUAUGAAGUUCUAGGAUGAUAAUGACAUCUUAUAAAGUAAUGAUCAUCUCCUUAAUAGAUAGGUGAAAUGUGUGUGUCUUAGGACACCAUCUCUCAACAAGACUUGUGAUCAAUCCCCAGUCUAGUGUAACAUGCCUAUUAUGACAUCCAUCGUAAAAUCUAGACUAGAUAAUAUAAGGACAAAUGUGAGGGUUCAUCUCCCUUUCCCACAUAAAUUUAAAAAAUUAUUAUUGACAAGUUAAGACCAAACUAAGUUGCAAAAUAUAAAUAAGUCCAUUAGAUAACAAAUUUAUGUUUUCUCAUUUUCUCAUUUUUAAAGAGAUAUUAUGUGCUUCCAUGUACAUACAUGCUAAAGUCAAUUAUACGAGACUUAUAUCCAUCUUGUAGAACCAAAUCGAACCUAUCUAAUAGAUCCAGAUUAGAAGUAUGUCCUCUAUACUCCAUAUUUAUAACACAUUUAUAAAGAUAAAUGCUAAAAAAAUGUUAAAGAUAUAAAUUUAAUGAACCAUACUUUAUGAUUUUAAUUCUCAAUUAUUGUUCAUAUUUAUAAGAGAAAAGUUAAAAAAAUUGAUAGAGUUUUCCCUCUAUCAUGGACAUUAUCCCAAAUAAAAAUAAAUUGAUUAUGCAAAUUACAUUAAUAUUUGUAACCAAAUGAUCAAUAACUAUCUUGUAUCAAUUUAGUAAAUAAAUUUAAGUAUAUCUUUUCAUUUAUGACUAACAAAUAACUCAUACUUGUCCAAUAAAAGCCACACCUAAUUUCUAAAAUUUUGUCUUCACCUCAAGUGAGUGUUACAUUGAGAAAGAAAAAAUAUGAAAGAAAAAAUGAACACCUUUUUCUUUUAAUAAAAAAAGGCCAUAACGAAACAUUAAAUCUCACUGUUACACCUAUCUUCAAUGGAAACAUGAGGAUGUGAAUGGUGGCGGUGAUAUUCUUUGCUUGAAGCUCAUAAACAAAUAUUCCUUACUAAGCCUAUGCCAUUUAGUAUUUCAAUAGUGGACCCCCCCCCCCCCCCCCCCCCCCUCCUUGCAUUUCAGAUUUAGCAAACUUAGAACCAAAUAACAAAGUGCAUUUGAACCCAUAAAGAAGUAAUGAGACUCUCCUAUAUUGGCAAUAGAAGAAAUUUUUGGAGGUAUAGGAGAUUCACGGAUGAAGAAGUUGGGCCCCAAUUGAGAUAAGACCCAAGAAAAGAUGGGGUAGAGAGGGAUGGUUGGAAAUUGUAAAGUAAGAUUUUCAAAAUGUAGUUGAUGACUAAGAUUUUGACAAUUUAAAAAAGGUUUAAAAAUGUAGUUAGCAAUCGGGGUUUUGUAACAUUUAAAAAAUAAAAUAAAAUCUCAGGCCACAUGGUAGCCCAUGUGAUUCAGAAGCUUGAGAAUUAUUUUAUAAGAAGACUUAAUUUGUGAUUUUUUUAUAACUAUAUUAUUUUUUUUCUUAACACACGAAAAAAAUUAUGAAAUAAGACAAUUUUCCUAAGAAAGCAUGUAAGUGACUCUUGGUUAUUUUAUUUAACUUCUUCUAGUUUGGAGAGGAUUAAUACCUUUGCUUUUACUCACUUGCUUGGAUAUGUACACGUUGUUCAUGUCACUUUUCAUUUAAUUUUCUGAUUAAGGGAAUUGGAACCGUACGUAACUGUCUUUAUUCCCUCUGAAACUUGGACUUGGAGUUGGACUUUCAAUCUCAUCAGUCGUGUUUCCAUAAAAAAGAAGAUGGAUUAACCAAUUUUCCUAUGCCUACUAAUCAUACACAAAACUCCACUUCCAAAUAAAAAGGAAUGGGAUAUCACUUGUUAAUAGUGGCUAAAGACUAUUAAUAACCAUGCAAAGAAAUGUCACAUUUUUUGUUCUACGCAAAUUUUAUUCAUCAACUACUAGAACCAUUUCAUACAAUAGUAGCUUUUCGAUCCUUUGAUAAAUGGACACUUGAUGUGAUAACACCAACUACACCUAUAUAUUCAAGCAAUCAUGCGUAUAUAAUAGUGGAUAUGGAUUACUUCUCUAAAUGGGCAAAAGUUUUGUCAUUCAAGGAAAGUGAACGAGGAAACACAAGUUUACUUUCAUCGGAACUAAUAUUAUAUAUUGAUAUGACUUCCCAUUAUUACUUACGAUGGAAUAUGCUUCCAUAAAAUGGCCUAGAUGAACAAACUAUCCAAGAAGUUUGGGAUCAAAUAAUAUAUAUAUAGUUCAUGUGUGAUUCUUUGGUUGACAACCUUGUUAAGGGGUGAGUGAAGCACUUUGGGCAUACCACAUACUACAUGCUAGACUUCCACCCAAGCUACCCUAUAUUCCUUAUGAACAAAGUAGAAGUUGUCAUCUCUCUUGAAUACCAAAUCCUUUCACCUAAUAAUGCUAUCUAAAAAGGUCUUAAAAAGGAUAAAAAUGCGCAUAUUUGAAUUUUUGAAUUAGGAGUGCUACUUAAAAAGAAGCUAGAUAUACAAUAAUAGAAUGUUAUCAAGCAUAUCUCUUCAAAGUUUUUGACCAAAAAAUAUAUGAUUUCUCAUUUUAGGUAGGAGACUUAGUACUCACUAUUCAAAAACCAAUUAUCAUUACUCAUAAAAACUAAUAGAAAGUUUGGGCCAAAGUAGGAUGGACCUUAUAUUAUGCAACAAUUAUGCCUAUAAAAUUGUUGCAAAAGAGGUUUUAGAAUCAAAUCAAUGAAUGAAAAAUUAUUAAAGCAUUACUAUGCUUGAAGGCUAGUCAUUUUCCCUUAAAGUGCAAUAUUAAGUUGCAUAGUACUAUGUGGAUCCGCAUUUUUCACAUGCGUUCCCACUCAUUGUCGAGACUCACUUUUUAGAAGUGAAAAAUUAGUUUUAUUAAAGUCGAAGUUGCCACUGGGGAUUUGAACCCUAACAAAAGGUUCAAUUUAAGGAUAAAAAUAUCGAUAAUCACAUAUAUAUAUAUUGGUACUUUGAUUUUAUGAAUAUAUUGAAGAAAUAUGGACAAAUAUUUUGACACAAAAUAUGUACAAAAUAAAAAUUAUAUAAAAAGUAAAAAUAAAUAUUUUAAAAUUAUUUUUUUAAAUAUAUAUAUAUAUAAUUUGACAUAUUUGAUAAUAAUAUAUAAGGGUCUCCAAAAAGCCCGUGGCCCGCUUUAGGCCCGGUCCGACCCGACAGGCUAAAGCCCGGCCCAAGCCCGCCGGGCCCAAGCUCGGCCCGAGCCCGUUUAUGGGUGGGCCGGGCCGCGAGCCCGUAGGCCUGCUCCUUUAAAAAAAAACUACAAAAAUAAAAAGUAUUAAAAAAAAUAUUCAUUUCAAAAUUUUAUUCAUUGAAUGUAUAAUUACAUUUGAAAAUGUGGGAAAAGUUUACAUCACUACAAAAUAAAUACAUCCCAACUAGGUUGGCACCUAUUUAUUUGUCAAUCAUCUGUAUUUUUCAACCACAAAAAAUAAAAAUAAAAAUAUAAUAUACAUUUAGUCAUUAUUUUCUGGCGGUGAUGGCGAACUAUCAUGCAUCCAUGAAGAUCUUGAUAAUUUUAAAGAUUCCAUAUCGGUAAGCAUCUUUGUUUCUCGAAUGGAAUCAUACAUCCUUUUAUCUGCUAUUUCCCAAUCUUUCACACAUAUCCCUGCUUUAAUAACAUCUGACGCUAAGUUGCAUCGUUUUUUACUAACUACUCUUCCACCUGCACUAAAAGCAGCUUCUGAUGCAACUGUACUCACAGGAACUGUUAGUACAUCACGAGCAAUUAUAGAAAGCACAGGAUAUUUGUGUUGAUGUGAUUUCCACCAUAUUAAAAUAUUAAAAUCUUCUUGAUCUUCAAAUGAAAUUAUAUCAGUAUUAAGAUAUUUAUCUAAAUCAGAUGUAUUAUUUGGAGAAUUAUUUGUUGUCUUUUUUCGACUUUUCAACAUUUCUAGAGCUCCUUUAUAAAAAGAUGAGGAGUUUGUAGAUGUAGGUGGUAAUUUAAUAGUAUUAAUAUCAUUACCAUAUUUUUCUUUAUAAUAGUUAUAUAAAUUAUAUAAUAAUGAAUUUAUUUCAUUUUUAAUUUCUUCAAUUUUUAUUUGGUCAUUAAAAUAAAUAAUUGUUAACCAUUCAUCCAAAGCUUCAAAUUUCAAUCUAGGGUCCACAAUUAAAGCAAUAUAAAAAAUUAAAGGUAUUUCUCCCCAAUAUUUUCUAAAUUUUUAUAUCAUUACAAAUAUUGUAUCAUUAAAUAUUUCAAAACUUAAAUAUUUUUGAAGUACAAUAAAAAUAUUAGUUAUUUGCGUAAUAACUCGAUUUGAAGUUGGAUAAUAUACACCACAAAAAAUGUUUGUUGAAGUAUCAAAAAUUUCAAAAAGAUCUCUUAAAACAUCCGCAAUAUGCCAAUCAUAAUCAUUUAAUGCAUAAAUAUCUGCUUCAUAAUCAUUGUUAAUUAAUUGUAUUUCAUAUAAUUCGACUACUUUUCUAUAUUUUGUAAUAUUUUCUAAAAGUUUAUAUGUGGAAUUCCAUCUAAUAGCCAUAUCCAAAUUUAUAUUUUUUCUUUUCAUAUUUAACAUUUUGCAACAAUCAAAAAAUAAUUCAUGUUUUGCUUGAAAACUAUUAAUACUAUAUGCAAUGCCUCUAAUUUUUUUCCAAUGUACUAUCAACAUUUUUUAAUCCAUCCUUUACAAUUAAAUUUAAAAUAUGUGCACAACAACGCACAUGAAAUAUUUUAGCAUGAUCUUCUUUUACUUGCCAAUAUCGUUUUAGUCUAUGUAUUGCUGCAUCAUUAUUAGCAGCAUUAUCUAAUGUUAUUGUCAAUAUUUUAUCACGAAUGCCUAAAUCUAUAAUUUCAUCAUUUAUUAAAGAUGCUAUAUUUUUACCACUAUGUGGAGUAUUUAUUAAUUUAAAUAAAAUUAUUCUUUUAUUUAAUUUCCAUUCAUUAUCAAUGUAGUGAACAAUUAUAUAUAAAAAACCAGUAUGAGUUAAAGAUGUCCAAAUGUCAGAUGUUAAACGAAUAUUUCCUUCAAAAUUUGCAAAAUUUUUUUUUAAAAUUUCUUUUUGUGUAUAAAUUUUUUUCAUAAUAUCUCUUUUAACUGUAUUUCCAGAUCAACCUUUAAAUUGAGGAUUAAUACCUCGUUGAAUUGUUCUUGCAAAAUCAUGAGUUUCCAUCAUGUUGAAAGGUUGUUCUGCUCUUAUUAUAUAAUCAAUCAUUUCUUCACAACAGUUAGAUUCAUCAUAAGAAAAUGUUUUUAAAUUUCCACUUUCAUUUUUACUUAAUUGCAUAUAAUUUCUAAUAUCUACAUUAUUUUUAGUUUUACAAUUUUCAUGAUGUCUUUUUAAAUGACUUGUAUCUGCAUUUGAGCCACCAGUAAGAAAUUUAUUACAAAUUUUACAUUUUGCUUUUAUUUUUUUUUUAUUAUUUUCUAAAAUUAUUUCUAUUCUAUCAAAAAAAUUCCAUAUAUUUAAAGUAAAUUUUUUGUUUGAUGAUAUUUCAUCACAUGGACUAGACGAAGAAGCACUUGUCAUAUUAUAAUUAUUGAUAAAAUAUUAUGCCAAAAAUAAUAAAGUAAUAAAUAUAAAAAAAAAUGUAACAAAAAAAAUAAAGUAGUAGGGGUGAAGUAUGUUACUCAAUUAGAGAACCUAUGCAGAAAUUCCUAGCAAAUUUGAACUCUUGGAGCCACCAAUGCUUGUUUUGCACCAUCAACAAUAUUGUAUAAUUUGAGGGAAAAAUAAAAGAAUUUAAAAUAUUGUAGAAUGUGAGAGAAAUAGAGAGAAUUUGAUGAAAAAAUGAAAAGGAAGAAAAUGUAUUUAUAGGAAGGUUAAAAAUAAUAAUAAUAAUAAUAAUAAUAAUAAUAAUAAUAAUAAUAAUAAUAAUAAUAAUAAUAAUUGGCCAUGUGACCGUUGGAGGCUUAGCUCCAACGGUCACAUGGGCUGGAGCUAGGCUCCAACAGUCACAUGACCGUUGGAGCCUUUAAUUUUUUUUUUUAAAAUAAUAUACUUUAUUUUUAUAUAUAUAUAACUAACUCAAUUAAUAAACAUAAAAAGAAUAUAGUUCAGUUGGUUAGAACCUUGAAGUUUAAACAUGAGGGGAGGGGUUUGAAUCCCUCCCUCUCCCUUAGGGGCUUUUUUAAAAGCCAUUUUGGCUUAUUUCAAAAAGCCUGUCGGCCCGACCCGCCCUGCAGCCCGCGGGCCUAGCAUUUUAGCAUGGCCUGGUCUGUUGACUAGUCAAAUGGCUCAUAGGCUCGGCCCGAACUGGGCCGCGGGCCUCUUAUUUACGGACCGGCCCGACCCGGCCCGCCCGUUGGAGACCCUUGAUAAUAUCUUCUAUAUUAAGUUACAUUAUAGUUUAUUUUACAAUAUUAUUAUGAUAAUAUGUCUAAUUUUAAAAUAUAUUUAAUAUUAAAAUUAUGAUCUAUUUUAAUUUAAAUGUAUUCAAUGAUAUCAAAUAAAUAAUAAUAUAUGUAUAAUUCUUUUAUUAUUUAUAUUUAUUAUUUUUAAUAAAUAUAUAGAUUAUAUAAAAAAGACCGGAUAUAUCUUUUCAAAUUUUGUAUCGCUCUCCAAGGAUAUUAGAUGUAUGGGAAUUUGUAUUGCUAUCUACGGAUACGUUGAUAUAUGGGUGAUUUAUCAGGAUAAUUAGAAAUUCUAAUUAUGUAAGCAGGUACGGAGUUCUGUGUCGGUGCGAUCUUGUCGACAACAGCUCCAAAUUGUGCAUCUUGCUCAUAGAGAGUAGCGGAAUGCACCAAUCGUAGGCUCAGAGUACCACUGAGUCGUCUGGCAGAGACCCAACUGAAGGUGCCUGUGUUGUUCCUGAUCUGAUCAGGCUUCAAACUACAAGGUGGAAUACUGGUUCCCCUAUAUCAGAAGCUGGAGAUACCCACCCCAUAUGCUCGUCUGGAUGUGCUCCUACCCUUUGAAGCCUUCUUCCGAGUCAAGUCCGAAUUGAUAAGGCUAGUGAGUUCCCAACCAACUGUACUCAGCAUGCUGCCAGGUGGAGACCCUCCAUAUUUGAUGGCUUCCUAAUAUUAAAAUGCUGACCACUGGUCUUCAUGUUCCACAGGCUUAAUUGUGUCCUUUGCUGAAAGAAUGGAUAGUGAUCCAUUUUAACACAUGAUUCACGCCGUCUUUGCCAUUCUUCAUGGUCUAGCCCUUUUAUAUAUAUGCUUCCUGAACUGUUGCUAUUAAUAAAAUGUGGUAUCUAUCCCGUACACCUUCCUGAUGGCCAGCGAAUGCAGAAGCUACAGAAACGGUUCCAUCUUUUGCUUCCGCCACUUUGGCAUCCUCCAUGAUGAGAUCGAAGGUGAAUAAUCAUAUUCUGGGGAUUUAUGUCCUGGAUAUUCUCAGUAAUGCCCAAUUUCCUGGUGCCGGCCUCAUUUCCAUGGGAACUGAUGGAUAACUUAAGGCUUCUACCAUCUGCGUGGUUCGCUUCUAACACAGGAAACUUCACGGCUAAAAGCAAGAUACCAAGAACAUCAAGGCUGUGACAAAAAUUAGUAUUUUUAACUUGUAGGAAUUUGAAAGGCAACCAACCAUCUAGCUCUGUUCUUAAAGCUCCCAUAGGAGGAUCAGAGGCUGGAUUGCUCAAGAUGAACUCAUCCAUUGUUGCACUUAAAAAGAAUUGGCAUGAAUUGUGGCCGCUCUAAUAGGUUCCCUAAACCAUCAUCCAAGUGGGCUUGCGGAAGGUAGCGAGUUUAAAACACCUAGGGCGAUGAACAGUGGACUGUGAUGCUCACAAAAGAGAAAAGGAAGAAUUCAAUAAUUCCUAAGAAUCCAUUUGCCUGUCAUCCAAAUUUUUAUAUUCUCUUCAGUCUGACGCGUUAUGCCAUAUAUUAAAAAUAGCGGCUUCUUCCAAGCCGAGACAGACUGUGCAAAGUUCGCAAGGCCAAUCAUCACCAUAAUCUGAAGUUGGCCUCCUCAAUCGCAGCUUGUAUCCGAAUGCUCACUUCACGGGAUGGAUUGUAAUGAAAACUAAUCUCAGUCCCAGCUAUGGCAGCAUCCUCACUUGACAGCAUUUUCUGCAUAUUCUAGAACAAAGCAAUAAACCCUCAAAGGCUCCUUCGGAUCAGAGUUAGAAGACUGUCCCUCAGGAACGUGAACACUAUGGUGGUUCUGAUAAGCAGUGAUAUUGCAUUAGAGCCUUUUGGAACAAGAGGAUCUUUUCAGGUGGAAACUGUAAACUGCUUCAUGUUGGGCUGCAACCUUUUCUUCAAGCAAUACUUUCUUUCUGUAUCACGACUUAUGUUGCUUCCGGAGCCAUCCCGUGUGGACUGCCCUUCAGUGAAAGAAUAUGUGUGUUGACAUGUUGGAUUGUAAUCUUUGUUCCACUCUAAUGGCUUUUGGUCCUCCUCUUUCUCUUUAUGACAGAGAACCAUUUAGUGAUCCAUCUCUAUAUUGUAGCAUUGCUGGUGCUUUGCAAUACUACACUCUCACCAAGCAUAACAUCUAUUUUUCCGUGACCAAAGUAUGUCGGUUUAUGCAUGCGCAAACUCUUAUUCAUUGGCAAGUUGUCAAGCGUAUCUCAUGAUUUCCCAAAGCCACAAGUUCUUAUGGUCUUUCUGUUCAAGCUUACAAUGAUCUAUCUUUUCUUGGUUAUACUGAUGUCGAUUGGGCUAGUUGCCCUGAUAACAAGCACAAUACUAGUGGGUACAACACUUUUCCUGGUCCUAAUCUCAUUUCAUGGGCAUUUUCAAAGCAGAAGGUUGUGUCUCACUCCAAUAACGAAUCUGAAUAUAGGGGACUCACUAAUUAAUGUUGUUGCCAAGGUCACUUGGAUUGAAUCUGUCUUACGUGAGUUGCGUGUUUCUCUACCCCAACCACCAAUUUUGUUGUGUGACAACAUUAGUGCUACACACUUGGACAAACCAUGUUGAAAUACACUAUCAUUUUAUCCAUGAAAGGCUUAUGCAUCACACACUCAAAAUUCAAUACACCUCUUCUAUAGACCAACUAGUCAAUGCUAUGACCAAAGCUCUUCCUUCAUCUCACUUGUACAAUCUUCAGUGCAAGCUGAUUGUUCUUCCCAAACCACUCAACUUGAGGGGAGAUGUUAAGCCAAUUUAAUAAAUUGAUUUCUUUUGGUUAAUUUGUUAGAAUCAUUUUUAUUAGAGGUUUGUUUGUACAAUUACAUCCAUUUAUCAGGAGAGUACACGUGUACAACUCCUCUUUUAAUCUCACCAUUGUAUAUAUAUGAUACACGACCUUACUCAGAAUUGCAUAACAUUUCCUCUGCUCAUUCCUUUUCUUCUUUGAAUUUUCCCUUACCUCACUGAUUUUGAUUUAUACCUGGUGUUUUCACCUUUGGUCUCUACCUUUCUAGCCAGUUUUCUAAUUAAUCCGUAUAUGGUAUACCUGUCAACUAAUGAGGAGAAAGAGAAAAGGGGAUUGCUGUUCCACCAGCUACAUAUAAUAAUUAAUUACAAUCAUGGUAAUGGAUCCUGAAAUCCAUCCUUUGUGGAUUUUGUACGGAAUAUUGUUGUUAUGUAUGUGGGCUCACUUAGAUGUAUAUUGCUAGCCUGUCUGGGAAAUGUGAUUGCAGGUCCAGAUUAUGAUGUUGAUAUUAGUGGGAUAAGCAAGAGAUGCAGUUAACACGUAUGUGAUGGACUUGAGUAACUUUUCCAUUUCAGUCCAUUUUUUAAGAUUAUGCUUAGUCUUAUUACAAGGAAAGACCAUAAGAAUCAUGAGUCAUUGGCAAGGUAAUAUCAUUCCCUCUUUACAGGCUUCUUCACCUUUUGGUUUUUUUAAUAUCCAUCAAGAUCUUUUAAUUGGAGGACAAUUACAAGUAUAUAUAUAUGUAUUAAAAGGGGAAAAUAUUAAAACAGGAAAUUUUAGGGAAAAUAUAAUAAUUAUUUCUUCCUUCUUUCCCAUAUAGAACUACACAAAAUAAAACUUUAAUAAUUUUUUCUUAUCUUUUUUAUUAUUAUUUUUUCUUAGAAACAUCCGUGGUCUCACAAGCUUGUAAUCCUAGAUUGUUAGGCUCCUUUAACAGUGCCCCAACAUCGUGGUCCAAUGACAAGCUUCCACGCCUUAAAAUCAGAAAAUGCCAUUAAACUUUAUCAGACAUUACAGUUCAAGACAAAGCUUUCAUUUGCUUAAUGUGAUAAUGAAAUUGUUAAUUUCAUUUCGUGGGCAUCUAAAUUUGGACGAGCAAGACCUCUGAAUUCCCUGUUUUUAUCACCAGCAGAGGAGAUAAAAUCUUAAUGGUGAGAAUCUCCACGUGAAAUUUAUGUGUACUGUCAACAUAUUUUUGUUUAUAUAGUCCAGUAGCUGCAGGAAGUCUAGAUUAUAUAGGUAGCAGUAGCACUAUUUAUAGCACUCGAUAUUCGCUGUAUGAAUACAUUAAACCUUGUUUUCAAUACGCAUCACAAGCAAGUACUAGAUACUACAAGGAGUGACAGUCGCAUCAACAUUUCUUGAUAAUAGCAGUGACUGAUUUAUACACAGAACAGUACUGUACACGUACCAGUCACCAGAGAUAGGAUCUUAUUCCUACAUACGACUCUUAUUGAUCGAAGUCACUCAGUUGGGGUAGCCUGGAGUUGGAGGUUUGUGUGGUGGCUUCUUCUUUGGAGGAGGCUUUAUCUUUGGAGGCAUCAUCUUUGGAGGCAUCUUGUGUGAGUCUUCUUCAGCAUUCUCUACAGGAGGAUGGCCAGGCUUAUGACCCUUAGGUGGUUUGCCAACUGGGAUUGGUGGCUUGUGUCCUGAGAGUGGCUCCUCUUCUUCGGGAGGUUUGCCAACUGACGUUGGUGGCCCGUGUCCUGGGGGUGGCUUGUGUUUUGGGGGUGGUUUCACUCCACCGGGAGGUUUACCAAUUGGUGUUGGUGGUUUGUGCUCAAUCGGUGGCCUCUCAACUGGGGGGCGCUUGGGGUAAUCAGCGAGUGAAGAAGUGGUGAGAACCACCACUCCAAGCAACAACACUAGCAAGUAUGUGGAAGACAUCUUUGAGUUUGGCUCAGAUGGUGUAGAACUAGAAUCCUGGGUGGCCUUUUAUAUUAGUUGGGCCCUAUGCCCGAACGACAAGUGUCAUGGUGACACAUAAAGUGAUGGGGUCGAUUUGGGCCUACCGGAUUUGAAAACUUGGACAAUUCGAGAAGCGUCUCCUGACUCCGGGUUGUAAAGUGAAAGAUUAGGUAUCGACCAUUGAAGUAUGAUCACAACUUUUGGCCUUUGGCUCUCUCUACUGCCGUAUAGCUUUUUUCCUUUGGAUAUUUUUCUUAGCUAGACACAAUUAUUGAGCAGUCUAAUCUCGAAAUGGGAUUAGUAUAGCUUUAAGCAAAUUUAUUAUAGUUAGUGGAGGACUUUUAAGAGUGCAGACGACAUUUAACACAUGCAUGCAGUAGUAUAGGGGACAUAACACUAUUCUUUUUCCAAAGAUUCACAUGAUUUUUAUAUUAUAGUAUUGGCACAUUGUAUGUAGCUGGUUUUGUGGUUAAAAUUCCAUAUGUAGACACUGGCGUUUCUCCAUUUCUCACAAUUGAUGUUUACCUCCACGAUUACUAGAUUAGAUAUACCAAACAAUAACACAUUGUAUAAUCUAUCCGCCCUUCAAAAUCUACUGUAUGAUGAAAUGUUUCAUGUGUGUGUGAAGUGUUAGAAAUGCACUAUAGGCAACAUCAUCUUCUUUUGUCUAGGCUUGGGCCUCAAAUUAUACUCCCAUGCCAUGAUAAAUUUUCAUGUGCAUUCUCUAAAGAAGAGUGUCUUGAAUGUGCCAAAUCAUUUUGAUUGAUUUUAUGAUGUUAAUUGCUCCGCAUAUGGAUGGGUAUGUGCUUUAUUUGCUUAUUCAAUCCACAAUUACCUUGAACUGAAGUCCUAUUGGAGCUCUAUUAUUUUAGCAACGUCCUGUCAAAUAGGCUGCUAACUUGGGGUGGUAUGGACCCAAUGAUCCAUCUUAAUCUUGGGUUGAUUUUGUCUGACUCUAUCUAUCUCAGAGAGAACCAGGAUCACCAGUGCUGGUCUGCUUAAAGAAGACUCAGUACUGGAUUAAUAUUGGUUUGGGUCAAUAGCUUAUAAUGCAUUGAAUGCAGAAUAAACAAGAUCAAUGAAACCCAAAACACACUGCCCACACAACUUCACUCUGGUGUCUGUUAUUCAUCAAUUCUAUUCCCACAUGAACUGGUUCAAGUUUAAGAAAAUGACAACGGAUCCACUGUAUUAACUUGGUUUUGCUUGGUUUUGAGCUAGUUGCCAAACCAGCCAUGAGUUUUACCUCUAAUGUCAAUGAACAAACCCCAAAUGAACAACUGCAACAGCUUAAAGAGAAGGAAUGGAGAUGAAAAUCCCUGUUUCUUCUCAUUCUGGGGACAAAUUAGAACAUAACUACAAAGGUUCUAUUAAUUGACUUACUCUACCAUGAAUUAUGGUUCUUUGGUUUUCCAAAUUUAAAUUGUACAUGAGAUUAUUUUUUUCCUUUAUAUAUAAACAUAUUAAGGUUUUCUUAUUUCGUGGGCAAAUGCGCUAAGGAUGAAAGUCAUUUCAUUUGGCUGCAACAGCAUCUUAUAAUCAACAUGCAUAAGCAGCAGUUUUAAUUGAUCGAUUGAACACCGACUCACAAGAAUAGAUAGAAUGGUACAAGACAGCUCUUAUUAAUUUAUACUCGUUACUCAUUUUAUGUAGCCCCAUUAAGAUGGCUGGCUGGACCACCGAGGUCUGGGGGUGGUGUUGCUUGUGUGAUGCAGCGGGCCGGGCAGACACUUCUCUAGUUGCUUCUAUUUGGAGUUAGAGGAUCAGUCUCUGCCAACCUUGAGGACUCUCUACCUCAGAGGGUCCAGGUGGUGGACUCUGGUGUCGGUAGCUUUGAACUCUCAGUAGACUAGUGUGUCUUAAUCAGUCACUGCCAGAGGCUGGCGUAGGCAGUGACGAUAAGGUGAGACAAAUUACCGAAUAGUCAAUAUCGACUGCACUUGACCAUUAUAGAUUUGUUCUGACAAAAGUGAGAAAAGGGAGAAAAUCGGAUGUUGACCUUUAUAGAAAAAGAUAAGAUUUACUGCAACACAGAGCACUGAUUUGUUACUUGGAAACCAAGUUAUGCUAUUAGCUAGCCUCCAUUAGCAGCAGGGUACCUUGCUGCCUGAUCCUAAUCUGAGUUCCCAAGGUUUCAAUCUUCGUUUGUUAACGCUUCAGGAUUUGGAUAUUUCAGCUUCGUUUCUCCAUUUAGCCAACGCUGCCUGGUUUGGAUUUCAAUCCUCAUCUGGAACAUUCUUUUUUCGGUCUGAUUCAGGAAGUGUUUGGUGAUAGUUGAUUAAAAUUAAACAGUACUAUCAUACAAAUAAAGCUGAUCUAAUUUUGGUGGGCAAUAUACCAACUCAUUUAUUCUUGAAAACACCAUGGGGAAUUGGAGGUCCAUCCGAAGUACUAUUUGAUGGGACUCACAAAAAGAACAGGUGCACAUUUAUGAGAUCCGUGGAAGAGAUAACUAUGACAGCUAUGCAUGUACAACAGAUUUAUGUCGAGUUCACCUCGUAGAUAUUUUGUUUUCAGUGUCGGUGGACCCCAAAAUGGAAAUCGGAAAUUAAGGUUAUAUUUAUUUUUUUAUUUAAUUUUAAAUAGAAUUUUAAUUUUUAAUAAUAUUAAGUAUUAAAUUAUUUUUUUAAGGGUAUUUUAUUUUUAUUAAGUAUUAAAAAGUAAAAAAAAUUAAUAUGUUGCUUUUUUAUUUUAAAAAAAUUAUAUAUUUUAAUUUUUUCUAUUUACUAAAAAGUUUAUAAUAAAUUAUAAAAAAAUAAAAAAAUAAAAAACUUAAAUUCUGAAAAUAAAUUAUUUUUAAUAAAAAAAUCCAAAAAAGCAAACACCACCUAAAUUUGAGAUGACUCAAAAUUUUAUAUUUUUUUUCACCUAAAUUAUAUUCAUAAAUUUAAAAUUAAAAAAUUAGGAAGUUGAAUUUUAUUUUGGAUAAUUGGAAACUACAAGAAAUCAAUAAAAAUAUUUGGAAAAAAAAGAAAAAGAAAAACUAUCUAUAUAUUCACCCCCUUCUAAGAAACAUAACUUUAGUUUUUAACUAUUUUUUAAAAUAAUUUUUGAAAAAUGUUAUAUAAUAUUUUAUAAAACAAAAAAUCUGUUUGACAAUUUGAUAUGUCUUUAACUUAUUUUUAAUAUUUAUAUAUAUAUAUUUUAAAAAUAAUUUUAUAUUUAGAACUUUAUCUUUAAUUAUUAUAUAUAUUUAUAUAAUUAUUUUUUUUAAAACAACUCUUAAAAAAUAAGUGAAAGUAAUUGAAAACAACUCAAAGAUAUUUGAUGAAAACACUCUAAUUUGUAUUUUUGAGAAUAAAAAAAUAAAUAAAUAAAUUUCUAGUUAUCAAAUGUAUUUUUUAAUUCUUUUAUUCUAAAAAAUAGAAAAUCGUUUUUGAAAAUAAUUAUUAAACAACAUUCUUAAAAAUUCACUCGUUACAAUCUAGAUUUAAUGCAAGAAUGAUUGAAGGAGUCCUCCAAUAGAACCCAAAGUUAUAAACAUGAACAAGAAGCCCUAGAAACACCAAAGAUCUCAUAUGGUAUAUAUAUGAGCUUGAUUGAGAACUGUUUUAAAUUCAGUUUUUUUUUUUUUUUUUUUUUUUUGUUUUCAAAGUCAAAACAAGUUUACUUUUAAUUUUUACUUCUUUUUUUUAAUUUUAUAAAUAACAGUUUUUUAAUAAUUUAUUUUGAAAACAUGAUUAUUUUUAAAACUUAUAAUGAAAAUAGGAAUUUUUUUUUUAAUAUCAUGGUUAUUUUCCCUUCUUUUAAGGAGGGCUAUUUUAAAAAUAAAUUUACAAAUAUGAAAAAUGAUUCAAACUAAAGCAGUACAAAUAAAAAACAUUUUUAAGAAAUAUUUAAAAAUAGAGAAAAUUAUUUGAGAACAUUUGAAGUCCUUAAAUAGACUUUUGUUUUAGAAAAGGCAAGAUAAUUAUUUUUGAAAAUUGUUUUCAUAAUGAUAUGCAAAAACCUACGUAAAAACCAUAAUUAUAAUCGGCCACAUAUCAAAUCUACUAAAUAUGAAAAGUAAGUACAUAAUUAUAUUUGACUUAGAUGCAAGGAGGAAAAUGUCGCGAUAUUAUCGCCGAAAUAUCGUGUGUCGAAGGGUAUCGACACGAUUUUUCUUGCAGAAAUAUCGGCCAGUCGAUUUUUCGGGAUAAAUCUCGAGAAAUCGGCAAUUUAUCGCGAUAUAUCGGCGAUUUUUCCUCGAUAUAUCUUCUGGUCAACGCGGGUCAACGGAGUCAACACGCUACAGUGAAAGUCAAAUGUGCUACAAUGUCCCCGCUACAAUCACCUCCCCAAACAAAUUGCCAAAUUGCUUCCGAGGGGAUUUGAACCAGCCUUCUUGCCAUUUGGGCUAACUCGCCCUUAUGAUAUAUAUUGCAUUAAACAUAUAUAUACUUAAAGUCCUUAUAUAAAGAAAAUGUUAAAAAAAUAUUUUAAAGAGCAAAUUAAUUAUAAUUAUUUUAUAAUUAAAAGCAAAAUUUUCUUUUAAUUAAUUACCAAAAAUAUAAAAAUUAUAUAAUUUUCUUCAUAAUGUUUUUAAUAUCAUUAAUAAUUAAUUAAAUAUUAAAAAAUUAUAUAUAUAUAUAUAUAUAUAUAUAUAUAUAUUAUAAUUUAUUUUAUAUUGUUUAAUACAAUUGAAUUAAAUGGAUCAUAUUUUAAUAUUAAUAUAUAUUUUAAAAUUAGACAUAUUGUAAUCAAAUAUCAUAAUAUUAUAUGUAAUUUAAUAAUAAAUGUACACUUAUAAAAUUCAUAUUUUUAUCGAUGCAUACAAUAUUAUUAUCAAAUAUGAUAAAUCAUGUUAUACAUAUAUCAAAAUUUUCAAUAAAAUAACUUUAAAAUGUCUAUUAUACUUCUAAUUAUAUUAUUAUGAGGUUUUCUUUACAUUUUCAUGAGUUUUAAACAAUUUUAAGCACCAAUAUUUUUUUCCAAAAUAUCCACCGAUAUAUCUCCGAUAUAUCCAAUAUAUCUCCGAUAUCUCCGAUAUAUCCGUAAAAUCGAAGUACCGAUAUAUCCGUGAUUACCGAUAUUUUCAUCAUUGCUUAGAUGCAACCUUCUUCCAAAUGACAUACUUUAGUCAAUACUUAUAUUUUUUCGUUUCACUUCUUUGAUACAACACCUCAUGGAUUUAUUGUUUAAUUUAUUUGUAAUUAUAAAACUAUUUUUCAUUUUUAAUAAGACUUGAAUUAAUUUAAUAAAUAUUAUAUAAUUUGAAUUUAUAAUUCUUUUUAUAAAAUCAAAGUAUAUUAAAAAAAAAACAAUUUAUCCGAAGAAAGUUUUUUAUUUUUUAUUUUUUAAAACCGAUUUUAAAAAUAACUAGCUAGACACCCUUAUUUUGAUAAAAUACGAAAUAAAAGUGUAAAAACAACAUGGCCAAAUAGGGGCUUAAAUUUUAUUUUUAAAACAUUUUUUUACACUAAAGUGCAUUUUAAAAACACCAUCAAAACCAACUACAAGUUAUGCUUCUUCCCGUAAUAGAAAUAUUUUAGGCCAAAAUAGAACCUCCCCAAAUAAAGACCCUAUACUAAACUCCUUUUCAUUUUAUUAAUACAAAAGUGGGGAAAAAAGGUCUAUGCUCACCUAAAAAACAUGAAUAUUGUGAAUUCACCAUUUCUAUAAGGAAGUUGAAAACUUCAAAAUUUUAUCAACAAAUUCUCUAAAAUCCUCAAAAUAUAUAGGGCCUGUUUCACAAAGUUUUUUAAAAUUUGUUUUUAUAAAUUGCUUUUAAAAUAUAGAAUAAAUAACAGUUUUUUAGAUUUUUUGAAAAAUAAGAGUGUUUGGUAAGAUGUUUUUUUUUUUUUUUUUUUUUUUAAGAAUUAAAUAAAAAAUAAAAAAAUUGUUUAGAUAAAAGAAUUUGUAUUGUUUUUAAAAACAAUGUCUUACUUUUAUGUUAUAAAAAUUUUAUUAAUUUAAUUUAUAAUAAUAUGAAAUGAAAUUCAAGUUAAGUCUUAUUAAAAAAUACAAAUUAAAUCUAUAAUUAUGCAUGAGUUAAAGAUAAAUAUAUAUUUUUUAAAACUAUAAAAUAAAUUUUCUAUUAUAGUGAAACAAAAAUUACUAUAAAAUAAAAAUAAUUUUAAUAUUCAUUUUUAAUACAAGUCAAAUAAGUACUUUAAUUAAUUUUUUUUAUCAUGAUUUCUUAUGUUUUUUUUUUUUUCUAGAAAUUAUUUUAAGUAAUAUAACUAAUUUUUUUUUUAAUGUUUUAUAAAAAUAAGGAUAUUUGGCAAGUUGUUUUUAUAAAAGGAUUUUAAAAAUAAAUGGAUUUUUUUUUUUUUUAAAAAAAGAACAAAAUGAUUUGUUUGAAUAAAUUGUUUUGAUUUUGUAAAAACAUUUUAAAUUCAAUUUAUAUAAUAUUAAUUAAUUAAAUUAAAUUGAAGUUUUAUUGAAAAUAAAAAUAAUUUUGUAAUUAAAAUUAGAUUAAAAAAUAUAUAGGUUUUAAUAAAUCGUAAAUAGUAAUAUUAUAAUAAAAUUAUAAAUUAUAUUUUUAACAUAAAAUAUACUAUUUAUUACAUAUUAAAAAAAAUAUUUUAUUAUAUUAAUAAUUUUAUGGUAUUAAUGAGUUUAUUAUUUAAGUUUUAAAUUAUUUUUAAAAAUUAAUAAAUUUGUUAACAAAUGCAAUGUACUAAAUGUGGUUUAAUUUGGAGUUAAUUUGUUUAGGGAAAAAAAUAAAAAAUAAAAAUCUUAUGUAAAAGAGAAAUAAUAGAGUGUGUGUGUUUUUUUUUAUUAUUUUUAAAAAUCAGUAAAAAGAACUUUUACUUAUUGCCUAAAAAUUAUUCUCUAUUUUAUUUUAUUUUUUAAAUCUAGAAAUAGAUAACAAUAAUAAAAAAAAUUAAAAAAGAAAAAUGUUUUUUAAAACUCAGACUUAUAAUUGCUUUUGUUUCUCAUUCGCACCCCUGGAUUCCUGGAUUCUAAACACAAAAUUAAGUUGAAUCGUCCAUCUAUCUUGUAAGCCAAGAAUUCACAUAGAAGAAAUAAUCGGAAUUUGAUUUGAUAUCAGAUUUAGAGUGGCUCACUACUCAUGCAUUGUCCCACAAUAGUAAUGCUUUGGGCCGAGAUAAACCCAUUUGUGGGCCCAAAUAAAACCCCUGGUUUGAAAACAUCGAUUUUACAGUGGCCCAAAAGAUUAUCUAUGAGGGGAAGAUAACUUGGAAGUCAAGCAAACACAUUUAUCGCUAACUUUUCUCUAAUUAUAAAAUUAUAACUUGGUCUUCUACACGUCUCACUUAAGAGGCGGAGCCACUUGGCACUACCUUUCCAUAUUGUAAAAGGAGAAGAAGCAGAAGGAGAAGAUUCUUAUGCCAUUCCACACACCAUGGCUAGUACUGCUAUGCUGCUUGGCCCGCCGGCUCUCCGCCAUCCUAAUUCUCCCGCCGGCACUGUCUUUGAAGAUGGGGUCAUUCUAACGGAUUCCCUGAUCGUCCGCACCAGUAAUCUGGAGCUUUCUGAAAAACCGCCACUGGAAUCCCUGGCGUAGUGCUCUGUCAGUGGGGAUAUUGCUAUGGAUUGUUUGGAUUCCCAAGCCCACAAUCUUCAUCUUCCCGGGAAACCGCCGAUGGGCUUAACGGAAAACAAGUCUCCGACCUUUUUGUCUUCCGGGAACCCGUGCUUGGACUUCUUCUUCCAUGUGGUUCCCGAUACGUCGUCUGAUGAUCUGAUCCGACGGUUUGAGUUGGCUUGGGAAUUCAAUCCGCUGACGACGUUAAAACUGAUAUGCAACUUGAGAGAGGUGAGAGGCACCGGAAAAUCUGACAAAGAGGGUUUCUACACGGCGGUUCUCUGGCUCCACGACCACCAUCCCAAAACCCUAGCCUGCAAUGCUAGGGUGUUGGCCAGCUUCGGUUAUUUCAAGGAUUUUCUCGAGAUUCUCUACCGGCUUCUGGAGGGCCCUAAAAUUCGAAGAAUCGAAAAGAAAGACUGGCUGGAUCGAAAAGGAAGGAAGAAAAAUUCCCGGAAAAGGAACUCAAUAUUCAAGCGAGAAAAUAGGCCUGGAGUUGAAUUUCCUGUAGAAGAGAAGGAUGUGGAGUAUAUGGUGGAAGAAUUUGUGGAUAAAGAAAAGGCUAGGGUACUGAGAAAGGAGAGAGAACUUGCUCUUGCCAAAAGAGCCCUGCACAAGUAUUCUACUGAUUCUAAUUAUCAGUUCUUACAUGAUCAGAUUUCAGAUUUAUUUGCUGAACUUCUGAAAUCUGAUAUUCAGUAUUUAAACUCCGGUGAGCUUUACAAGAUUAGUCUCGCAUCCAAAUGGUGUCCCACAAUUGAUUCUUCUUAUGAUAAAUCCACCUUGAUAUGUGAAAAUAUUGCUCGAAAGGUUUAUUCUCGCGAGGAAUAUAUAUCCAGAAUACCAAGGAAUUGAGGAGGCUCACUAUGUUAAUAGAGUCAGGGAUAGGUUGAGAAAACAAGUACUUGUUCCAUUACGUAAGGCCCUGGAGUUGCCAGAGGUUUUCAUGUGUUCGAACCAGUGGGGAUCACUUCCCUACAACCGUGUGGCUUCAGUGGCCAUGAAAUCAUACAAGAGCCUCUUCUCAAAACAUGAUACAGAGCGGUUUGGUGUGUAUCUUGAGAAAGUGCAAACUGGGAAGGCUAAGAUUGCAGCUGGUGCAUUACUUCCCCAUGAGAUUAUAGCUUCAUUGAAUGAGGAGGAUGGCGAGAAAGUUGCAGAGCUUCAGUGGGCGAGAAUGGUGGAAGAUUUAUCAAAGAAUGGGAGGCUCACAAAUUGCAGUGCGGUAUGUGACGUAUCAGGAAGUAUGAGUGGAACUCCAAUGAAGGUGUGUGUGGCUCUGGGGCUGUUAGUUUCAGAGCUCAGUGAAGAUCCAUGGAAAGGUAAUGUAAUUACUUUCAGUGCAAGUCCUGAGCUUCACAAGAUCCAAGGAGACAGCCUUGUAUCCAAGACUGAAUUUGUGAGGAUGAUGGAAUGGGGUGCGAACACUGAUUUUCAGAAAGUUUUUGACAGAAUCUUACAAGUAGCAGUGGAGGGAAAUCUGAGUGAAGAUCAAAUGAUAAAGAGGGUUUUCGUUUUCACUGAUAUGGAGUUUGAUGAAGCUUGUGGGAGGUAUAACUAUUGUGAAUAUGACUAUGAUAUGGAGGAAAUUGAUGAGAGUCAGAAGGCAUCUCAGAAGUGGGAGACAGAUUAUGAAGUGAUACAGCGGAAAUUCCAGGACAAAGGAUAUGGAAAAGUUCCGGAGAUAGUGUUUUGGAACCUUAGAAACUCAUCAGAGACUCCAGUGAUGGCCACAGAGAACGGGGUGGCCUUAGUAAGCGGGUUUUCGAAGAAUCUGUUAGACCUUGUUUUUGGAAGGAGGUGGAAUUCUGACCCCUCAGGAUGUGAUGGAAUUAGCCAUCUCUGGUGAAGAUUACAAGAAACUUGUUCUAUUUGAUUAAGAUAUCAAGAGAUUUAUCAAUAAUAAUAUGUUUUUUUUUUUCUAUGUGAAAUACAUGUAAUAUUAACUAUGGAGUUAUCAAAGUUCUGGAAAUUUAAUUAUUUCUUCUUUUCAAGUUUUGUUUGUCUUUGUUAGGAAUUCCCCUUGGGCGGACCCAGCUGGGGACUUGGAUUGAGGAAGUAAGGAGGCGAAAUUGUGUUCUUCUAUGGACAGAGAAAAAAGAUAAAAAUAAAAAAUAAAAAAGGAGGUUAUUUGCAUUUGGAUGUCAUGUGGUUUCAGGGUACAACUACAAGUUCGAAAUUGUACAUAAUGUGAAAAUUCCUGUGUGGAGAACAGCAUAAAUAUGUAUCUCAGUGUGUUUUGUUUGAGCUAAUUGGCAAAUUCGCUUUAAACAUGGUCACAUGGAUGCAUAUUUAUUUGUGAAAUGAUAGUAGUCGAUUACUUGGUCAGUAAGGUUUGUAUCUCUAACUCCAACAUCUUAUUGUAGUCUUUUAAAAUGUCAAAAGUUUAAUGCUAGCUUGAGAAAUUUUGGAAUGGAGACAUUCUAAACAAAGUUAAUAAUCCAUGAGACUUGGUAAAACCGAUCAGAUGAUGCUUACGUACAUGAAUGCCUUCUUUAAGCCGUAUCCUAUUUUCAUUGAAUGAGACGUGCCAUCUAGUUUUGUUCUUGUCUUGAUUGGAUCAUGAUCCCGGGAAUUGAUUACUGUUCUGAAUUUGCGAAUGUUCAAGGUAUUAGAGAAAGUUAAUAUUAUCGUUAAUUUACAUAUUAGUAUUUAUCUAGUUAUUAUAUAUUAGUUUGAAUUAUAAUAUAAUAUAGAAUUUGAAUCAAGUUUACUAUUAGUUUGAAUUACAAUAGGAAAUAAAGUUUGAAUUAUAGUAUAACUCAAAUAUAUUUGUAUAUAAAUAUCCAUCUUUAUCAAUGAGAAUAGUAAACCAUAUUUUUCUCUAUCUUCUUCUUUCUCUAUAUAUAUGGUAUCAAAGCCUCCAAAUCCUAAACCUAGUCUCAACUUAGAGCAAAUUUAGGGUGCAGGGUUUAGGCCCCGCCUCCCCCAACCCUUACCACAAAUGGUAGUGACCUUGUUAUGCCUAUGUAUUGUCAAUGCCUCAUUUUCUAUGGUCUUCAAUACAAUAUCUAGUUUCAAUGUCUCUUUCCUUACUAUCUCCAAUGCAAUAUAUUGAUUUCAAUAUCUCUUUACAACCAAGAGCUCCAAAUUUUCCUGGUUCAAAUCUACCAUAAUUUUUAUUCUCCUUUGCUUUUUACCAAUAUUAGUUCCCCUAAUUUAAUAUAUAUCUCUUUAUUACCUUCAACUCUACCUCUCUCUUUCUUUAAAAGCUUCCUCAAAGAUUUGAUUGCUUUCUUGCAUGUUUUGGGAAAACAAACAUGCUCAUAUUCUAUUACCUCUACUUGAGAUCUGCCUUAUACUCUACCUUCUUCUUUACCUCCUAUAUCAUCUACUACAUUAGCUUCAAAAACAUUAUUUAGUUUGAUGCUAAAUAAGGCUCCUAAUCCUACCCUUCCUUCAACUAACUUUCUUUUACAAGUCCCUCAAAGUUUUUUUUUUUUUUUUUUUGGAAAUUUGGCUUAGAAAGAUUUCAUUACUCUUACCUAAUCUUUCAACCAUCAAGUCGAAUCCACUUAUCUCUUGAAUCCAAGGAGACUACCCUCCACAAAAACAAGGAGAUUGACCCCCACAAUAACAAAGAGAUUGUCCUCCAUAGAAACAAAGAGAGCUUCCUUCAUGGAAGCCGAAUACAUCGCAAUCUAUUUUCUUUCUCUCAAGAUCAAAUCUCCAAUCGGAGCUCCAUCUUGUGGGGAUAUAUUAGAAAAAGUUAAUAUUAUCCUUAAUUUACAUAUUAGUAUUUAUCUAUAUUAUAUAUUGAAUUAGAAUAGAAUAUAGAAUUUGAAUUAAGUUUACUAUUAGUUUAAAUUACAAUAGGAAAUAGAGUUUGAAUUAUAGUAGAACUCAAAUAUAUUUAUAUAUAAAUAUCCAUCAUUAUCAAUGAGAAUAGUAUUCCAUAUUUUUCUCUUUCCCUGAGGCUUCAGAAUGUGAUCUUGAACAUUUGAUCUUUUGGAUUCUUCUUGUUUCGGUGGUUUAAUAUAAUGGAAUGUUUAAUUAUAGCCUACUUUAUCACCAUGGAUGUGCUCCUGCAGAUUUCUUGAGGGUGAUGGUUAUUUUGUCAUGUUUCUUGAAUGGUUUGCAUCAGCUGCCUGAGCUGUUGUUGCUGGUCACUUUUGCAACCAGGGAAAGAAUCAUGGCUUUGGAGAAGCCAGCUUCUGUUUUUGUUGCCCAGCUGUUAGUUCACUAAGAUUGGGGGUCCUAACAUGUAUGUAUAAUCAUAAGCAAGGAAAUUUUAUGUCUUACGCUAGAUAGGUACCAUGAUAUGAUGUUUGAUUGAUUUAUUAACUCUACCUGUUUCAAAAGGCAUCAACAUUAAUUUUACCCUUUUAACACAUUGGAUUGUUUGACCUUACGAGAUUUUCUAUUUCUGUACUAUUUGAACUGCAAUCGUUAUGGUCCUUAGGUCUCUAAACCUUCGUUUAAAAUAAAAGUAAGGAGCACACAUAGUAAAAGUUAAUUUUGGGUAACUUUUAAAACAAAGAGAAAAGUAAAAGUUGUUUUUGAGAAAAACAUAUAGAAAUUGAAAGAUUUUUUAUUUUGAGAAAAAAAAGUCAUAGAAAAGAAAUAAUAUCCCCAUAUAAGUAGAUAUGAUCUAUCCGAAGUGUAGCUACUCUCCUGGAUUUAUUCUAACAUUUUAAAAUUUUUCUCAAUGGGCAAAGGAAUAUCAAAUCAAGCUUGAGUAGGAUUAAUUUCUUAAUUUUUAAAAUAACUUAUAAUUAAAAUUUUUUGGUGUUUUCUUUUUUGGACAAUUUUUUAUGAAGACUCUGAAUCAUGCAAGAGAUAUGGUUAUUUUAAAAAAAAAAAUAAUUUAAAACUCAAAUACAUAAUCAAUGUCACAAAUUUAUAAACAAAAGGUUUUUAAAAAAUACUAUUAUUUCCCCUCUACACAUAAUUUUACUUUUCCGAUUUAUUUAUUUUUGUUGGAAAACAGUCUUCAAAUCAAGUAAAAUUAAUAUGUUAAAUUUGUUAAACAAAUAAAUUUUAAAAUACAAUUUGGAACUCAAAAAUCAAUUCAAGUAAUGCUAAAAUUCAAAAAAUCAAAUUUGGAAUAAAAUGACUUUGUAAAUUUUUUUACUAAACAAAUGAAUUUUAAAUCAAGUGAGAUUUAAUACAUUGGAUUUUUAUGAGAAUAGUAAUUUUAAAAAUUAAUUUGGAACUCAAAAAUAGACACAAUAAAUACCAAAAAUCAAUGAACCAAAAUUGGUUUGGAAUAACUCCAUAAUUUUUUAUUUAUUUAUAUAUUUAUUUUUUUGUGCACACGAAUUUCUUACUAAGCAUAUUGCUUCCAAAUUGAGAAAAAUUUACUAUUUAGAUUUUUUUAAUGAGUUUAAUGGUAUUUAAAAAUAAUUCAAAAAUUCGAAAAUUGACUAAUUUAAUAUUAUAAAUUCAUAAACCAAGACUAAUUCAAAAUGCAUUGGGGGCUAAGGGGGUUGAAAUUAAUGCUCCAUUUGGUUGUGGCCACCAAUUGGCAAUGGCCACCAAUCAACCAAUCAAGGUGGCUAAGGGGGUUGAAAAUAGGGACAAUGGGGUGGGUUUGGGACAGGACACUCAUAUCCCAUUCCCAUCCCAAUUACACAGUUAUUUCCCAUCCUUAUUCCAAACUUGUGUUGGGGCAAGUUGAUUUGUUCCCAUCUUUGUUAACGAAAUGACUAAUAACCUCAUCCUCUCCUUGUCUUAGAUGUACAUUUUCUCAAAUUUGGUCAGGUAUGAUUGAUUCAAGCCCUAACCUUAAUUGGUAAUGAGUGGAUACCACACCUAAUUGCAUUCUUCUUUCGUUGCAAAAUAAUGAGAUUAUAAUAAUCUAGCAAAUAAGAAAAAAUAGUAUGGAAGUUCAAAUUAACACCAUAACUAUCAAUAAUUUUAAGCUUAUAGAUGACUUAAAUGAUUGAAAACUAAUGCAAAAUACUAAAAAAAAAAAAAAUCAUCUAAAGAAUUCACAAGAGAAUAGAACGAACAAAACCAAAUAGGAACAUGGGUCAACAUUAGUUACAGAUUUUGAUCCCUUUCAAGGCCAAUCUUUGAACCAAGACUUCAUCAAAUCUACUACUUCAAAGGCUUUUGUGUUCUUCUUGAGUUGUACUCUGGAACAAAGACUUCGAGGUGAUGCUUUAGAUGAUUGCAUUACACAUAUUUAGGGUAGGGAGAUUGGAGAAGCUUGAAGAUGCCAACGAUGGGUACAAUUGAGUGGUCAAUAAGAACAAUGUGGCCUAUGACUAGUUUGAUGUCAUGGUAUAGGAGUUUUGGGCAUUGAGGUGAAAGCAAGAGCAACAUGGAAUUGAUUUCAAAGUCUUUCAAUUAGUGUAAAGGAGGAAGAAGAAGUGGUAUUGAUCCUAGAAAUAGUGUUUUAGGUGUUGCAUUAGAGGAAAAGAAAAAGAAAAAGAAGGAACCAUUGGAAUUAGUACGAGUGUGAAGAGAGAAGUGUAUACAUAAGGGGAAGUAAAAGCAAAGUUCUAAAAAUUUAUUUUUUUAUUGGUGGUGUAUGGUUGCAUGAUUAUCCCUAUAAAUAAUAGGAGUUUUUUGGUGUUCUACUAGUAGUUGAAGGAUAAUUUCAUAAGAUAAUAUUUAGAGCGGGGUGGGGUGAGUUGUGACAAAAUCCAUACCCGUCCCAAACAUUGGUUCAGGUUUUUAAAAUAUUUUCAAACUUAUCAUAUACCCAAUUUUAUAUUUCAUACUUGUCCUAAUAGAGACAGGUUAGUCAGGGUUACUUGAGUAGCCUACAAAACUAUCAUCCCUAGUUGAAAUGCUCUUUUUGGCAGUGGCAGCUAGAAGCUCGAUCGAUUGACCUACAAGACUAGUUGUCAUCAUUUUAAAAAGAGUUUUGGCUUUGGUUGUGAGUGCAAUUGAAUCUAAACUAACAUUUCCUUAAUGCAUCUACUUCAAUCCUAAACUUCUUACUUAAGCCUCAAUUGUUGUUAAGAUUUUGGAAAACCCAUUUCCUUAAAUUGUAAAUUUAAGAAAAAAAAAAUUAAAAGUGAGACAUUUCUUGAUUGAAUGUUGUUAAAGGUCCCUUGGAAUUAAGACUUGGUUGAAGCCUUGGAAGAUUAGCAGAACUCUCAACUUAUGUUUGAACCUUGAGGAGAGUGGACGUAGGCCAAAAUUUUGUCAAACCAUUAUACAAAUUGAGUUUGAAUUCUCAUUUCUUGAUUUCUUAUUUAUUUGCUUUUUCUUAUUAUUACUUGAAUUGUCAUUUGCAUUCAUUAAUGUUAAAAUUGGUUAUAAUUAGCCAACACUAAUUCUCUUUCCCCUUCCCUUAAUUUCUUGGGUGUAAACCUAGGUUGGAUUAACUAGAUUUUAUCAAAUCUAUUAAGAUGGUAAAAGAAUAAUUAUUCUUAACAUACAUAAGAUCAUCUUCAAUCAAAUGACUCAUUGGCUGAUAUGUUGAAUUUGCUUAUUACUUGCAACUCAAAAUUGUGUUCUAGUUGAUAUGUCAAGUCCUGAGUGUAUGGACAUUAAAUUUGUAGUACGUGAUGAGUAUUUAGAUGGUCCAAUUCCAAGAAAGUGAUUGAAAACUAGUUCAAGAAAGGUGCAAAAGGGAAUUGUUUUGGUAUUUUCGUUUUUAUUCUUGAAGGUGGCAGAGCUAAAAUUUGAGAAAUCAAGCAAAACAUACUGAAAUUACAUUGAAAGAAAGAAAAUGGGAGUUAAUGUCUUGCAGUACAUGAUAAGGACUUCAUGCAUGUAGUGUGACCCAUGUCUUGGACUGAUGCCACACUCACGGUUACACUUAUACCCUUAGUUCUCUCUUUACUACCUUAGCUAACCUAGAUCAGGUUAUGAGAUAGGCACCUCACCACACCAUUACUUGCCCAUUAAUUAGUGACAUUUUCAAGCAAUGAGGUAACAUGGUGACACCAAGAGGGUAUAUUCCUCACCCCCAACAAGCCUAGACCUGGUCUAAAAAAAAUGGAGAAAAAUGACGUGUUGUUAUGCAGAAAUAUAGCAACCAUGCCUUCCUCAUUACUUAGAUUCAGAAUGUGAAGGUGAAAUUGAGAAACAGAAACUCUUGAAACCAAAAUGAAAAUUGAUACUUUUACGAAGAAUUACAACAACAUUAGAGGAAGACUACAUUCUUCCUCUUUAUUCCUACAUUUCUACACUACUUCUACUCCACUCCAUAUUUCUACAUACAUCUUUAAUCAGUCUUCCCUCCUUUAUAUAGAGCCAUCUUCACACAAAUUCCGCAAGGUAGAAAAGAGGAAUGAAACUUGGAGCAAGGUUCGACUACUGGCUGUAGCUUGUCAAGGCUGAAAGUGAACUUUUUUUCUUGGCUUUUCUGGGCAUAGGUAGUAACUUGUAGGUUCCUUUUUGGAAUGAAAAUGGUACGGCUAGAACAUGUGGCACUCUCUUGUUGGAUGAUGUGUCAAGCAUGUGGCAGCCAUCUAGUGGAGAUUAUGUCAAUUUUGGGAUGGAGAGUUGGCAUCCAAUUGCAAAGAAAUAUGACAUCUACCAACAUGCAAUGUCAACCUAUGUAGAUCAUAUGAAGAUAGAGAGGAAAAAUAUAGAAAUGGAUAUAUAACUAGAACUAGCUUUUUAUUAAAUGAGACGGAGAGCCAACAAUGAAGGAAAAUCAAAAUUUUUGGCUCAUAUCAAAGAAUUCACAUUGUGUUACCCUAGGUUUUCUUAAAACUUACUUUUAUGAUAAUAAAAAAUCAUUAUUGUUUAAUCCUUUGUUUUAAACGCAUGUUUAGCAGGUUGUAAAAUGUAAAUAUCUUUCGAAAUUCAAAUAUGAAGAUAUGACAUCAUUUCAAGCAAUAUAGUCUCUAGGAAUUAAUGUAAAGCUAAAUUAAGGUGCAAUUAAGUUAGUUCAAUGCAUUAUUUUAAGAAACUUGACCUAUCAAAACCUUGUCUUACUUCAAAGCCUCUUUUUCUUUUCUUCCAACUAACAUUUUAAUAAGUGAUCGCAAAAGUACAAAAUUAGAUGAAAUCCAUUUCAAUGGUUAAAAUGAUCAAAUUCAAACUUUUUCUAAGUAUCUUUUAAAAGCAUCAAUAUUGAAAGACAAUUUUAUAUUUAGUCAAAGCUUGGACAGAGCCAAAAAGCACACAAAAAUUUAUAUUUUCUAGCUCUCUACCUUGGAUGGUCUCUUGAUCCUACUUGGAGAUGUGCAUAAAUAAAAGGAUUUGAAAAUGACAAUUGACUAAGUAUGUAGUCAAUCAAUUACUCAUUGAUUGACUAGUUGAUCAAUUAACUUUGCAACAUCAUAUGCAAUCCUAAUAGCUAGUCAUCUAAUCAACUAGGUAGUAAAUCAAUAGGCCAAAAAUAUGUUUAUAAUGACUAUUUUGUACAAAAACCACUUAUAUAGUUAAAUAUAAUGCAUUUCAUUUAUAAAUCUUCUAAUUCUUGAAUAACAAUCCUAUCAUCCUUUGAAAGUUUUUAUUACACCUUUUCUACAUUUGUUCUAAAACUUAUACAUCACCCUUAAUUGUACCAUGAGAACCUAGCAUUUUUUUUUUUUUUUUUGUAUUUCAUCAAAGUUAGCUCUUGUACUCAUUGUUGUAUUAUUUUUAUUGUAACUUAGAGAGCGAGUGUUUUCAAGUGAGUGAAAUUGACUUGUAAAUAUUGUAAAGAUUCAUUGAUAUGUAUCUCAAACUAGGUGUACAAGUUGAAACAUUUGCUAGUAGAUUUUCUCAAGAUUUAGAAUGAGCUUAAGGCUAUCGAAUUAGGUGGGGUUGCGCCAAACCAUAUCACAUCGUUGUUUGCACCUUUUUUUUCACUCUCUUUUACUUAGUUGCUCUAUAUAUAUUGUCUAGCAAUAUCCUAAAGGCUUGAUGGGCUAGGGAGCAUCCCUCUGAAUGAAAAAUUUUCAUUCAAUUCUUAGUUGUAUUACGCAUAUAUAAAAUGCCUCAUUGUUUUAAUGGUAUUCAGUCGUGGCACCACAGAUAUGGACAUCUAAAUUUUAAAAGUUUGAAACUUUUAGCUAAAGAAAAUAUGGUGCUUUGCCUUUUUGGAAAGCAUGUUGAUGAAAUCCAUGAGAAUUGUAUACUUGGAGAGCAACAUCGAGAUAACUUUUUUUUUUUCUUUUUUUAUAAUGCAUUGUUUGUCCAAAUUCCGUACAAAUUAGGCCACCACAUGUUCAUAAUUCUCCCUUCUUGAAUUUGAAAACUCGGACAAUUUGACAAUGCGACACCUAAGUCCGGUUUUUAAAUGCUAAAGUGAAAGGGCAGGUAUGGACCAUUGAAAUGUGAUAACAACUUUUGGCCUUUUCCUUUUCUCUGUAGCCAUGUUGUCUCUUUUUAAUUUCUUUUGCAUGAUUUUCUUACCUAAACAGAAUCAUAGACUUGUUUAAUCUCUAAGUGGGAUUUCAUCCACCUUAAGCUACUGUAUUAUAUCUCGGUGGAGGACAACCGACAUAGAGCACAUGCAAGUGGGUAUAUGGGACAUGAAAUAUCUUCUUAUAAAGCUUGUUUUGCAGUUAAAUUAAUUGGAUAAGUAGACACUGGCGUUUCUAAAUUUCCCACCUAAGAUAAUGACCUUAUCCUUGACUGCUAGAUACACAAACAAUUAUACCUUCAAAAUCUACUGUGAAGUGCUUCAUGUAUGUGUGAAGUAUUAGAAAUUUCUUUCUUGGCAACUUGUUUUUUUCUUUGCGGUCUACUGAUAGGUUUGACUAAAAUUAUAUUCCCUGUCCUGCUAAUUAAUUUUCACGUGCAUGCUCAAAAGAAGAGUAUGACCUUAGUGCACCAAAAUCACUUUCAAUAAUUUGUGAUAAGUUUUUUUGCAUGACAUUAACCUUAUUCAUUUAGAUAAUGUUUAGUUCUCAUAAAUAUUAAGAAAAUGAAAAUAAAUAUUAAGAAAAAUAUUCUUAUAUUUGAUUGUAUUAUGAAAAAUAUCAUAAAAAAUCAAAUAUAAUUAAAAUUAAUUAAUAAUUUAUAUAUUUUAAAAUUAUUUAAUUUUUAUAUUAAAGAUAUAAUAUAAAUGAAAUGAGUUUUAAGUAUUAUAUAAAAAUGAUUUAUUUAUUUAUUUAUAUAUAUAUAUAUAUAUAUAUUUAGUUUUUCUCUUUAUUUUAUUUUCCUUAUGUUUUCCUCACAUUUUCCGGAAUCAAAGAUAGGGAAAUCCACAAUUACCUUCAACUGAGUAGAUUCUAUUGUUUUAGCAAUGUUAGGCUGCUAACUUGUGGUGGUACGAACCAAAUGAUCCAUGUUAAUCUUGGCUUGAUUUAAUUUGGCUCUAUCUCAGAGAACUCAAGGAUCACGUCAACUCUGGUUUCUACUAUUCAGGUCCAUUCCCAGAUGAACUGGUUCAAAUUUGAGAAAAUGGUAACAGACCUUUAGUGAUAUUGGUUUGGAGCCAGUUGCCAAACCUGCCCUGAGCUUUACCACUAAUGUCAAGGGACAAAGCCAUUUGAACAAAAACAAUAGCUUCAAGAGACUGAAUCGUGGAUGAAAUCUGAUCCACAUUUCUUCUCAUUUUGGGAAAAAAUGAGGACUUAACCACAAAGAUUCUACUGCCUCAUAGUGCUUUUCCUGAUCUAAGGUUGGCUCGUUUCCCAAAUUGUGAGGUGCACGUGCCACUCUCACGCUCAGGAGUGUAUCCACGUGGUGGACAUAAGAUGGUGGCUUAAUAUCUGGUGUCGGUGGCUUUACUUUACUAGGAGAGUAGUGUGUCUUCAUCUCAUUCACUGCCAGAGGGUGGCGUAAGCAGUGACGCUAAGGUGGGGCACAGUCAAUAUCAUUUGCAUUUGACCAUUAUAAUUUUCUCCCGGCUUUAAAGUAACCUUAUCGUGAUAAUGGAUUACUAGCACUAGUUCAGAUGACAGUCAUGUUAAAUUCGGACCAUGUUUGUGUCACAUUAUCAGCAACCAUGUGCUUGUGGUUCAUGCUAUCUGCAACUAAACUUGAUAUAUAACCAGGUGAACUUCAAUCUAAAUUCUGGAAGUACUCAUGUGAUAGAUGGUGCCUGUCUGCAGUGAGUGUAUCUAUAAGAGGGAAGGCUUGGCAAAUGUUCAGUUUUCUGGGAAUUCAACAGGGAUCUAAAAUAGAUUGUUUUCUUUGCUGAUUUCAAUGGUUGAAAUUUGAGAAGAUUGUGUCCACAUAACACAACUAUUACUGGUCCUUCUGUUGCAAUUUAUCCUCUAAGGCUCUAACAUGUCUUCCAAUUCCCACUUCCCACUUCCCUGUUACUCCAGGAAAGCUGUUUCUGUCAUUGUGAAGAAGAAAAGAGACUGUACAUAUCGAUGCUUUUAAGUGGACUGGAGAAUUCAUAUCAGGUGGUCUGCAGCCAUACAUGCCACUUUGUGAAGGUUGGAACAGUCAAUCACUAGGCUAUAUUAGUGGGGCCCAGCCACUUCAAUCAAGGACAAGUCUUCAUACUUAAAGUCAAAUUCUGCCUUUAGUCUCAUUAUAAAUUGCUGUUUAAAUAUCAAGCAAACAUUUGUUUAAUGCGAUUAAGACAGCACUAACUCAAUACUUGUUCUAUUUUUGGAUGCAAAUGCUUGAUAGUUUCAUCAUUGGAGGGGAUAAAGGUGCAUUCAUGAUUAUGAAUACUUGUAGUUAUAUUUUCAUUCUCUUUUUUCUCAAUGGGACUUGUUGGCACAAUUUUGCUGUUCAGAAACCUACCUCUCCAUGGAAAAUCAGUUGUGAUUGAUAUUACUGGAUAUAUUCAAGAAAGCUAAAUGUAGAUAGCACAAAAUAUUAUCGACAUAAAUAGCAUUAACAGCGUACGUAUGUCUCAAUGCUCAUCAGCUAUAAGCAAGGGGCAAACACUUACUAUGAGCAACUUACGUCAAAAUUCCGGAAUAGGACAUAGAAGUGACAGGUCAGUAAAUAUAGAACACUGCAUAUGAGUCACAAGAAAGGAAAUUACGGGUACAUAGCAGCUCUUAUUUUACAUCCUACUCAUACUGAUCAAAGUCACUCAGUUGGGAUGGGUGGGAGUGGGAGGUUUGUGGGGUGGCUUGUGCGGAGGAGUUGGCAGCUUCUUUCCAGGACCUGGUUGCUUCUCUGCUGGAGUUGAAGGAGGCUUAAUCUUCCGAGGUGGCUUGUAUGAGUCUUCAGCAUUCUCAGCAGGAGGGUGACCAGGGUUGUGACCACAAUGUGGUGGCUUCUCUCCCUUAGGUGGUUUGCCAACUGGGGUUGGUGGCUUGUGUUCCGGAAGUGGCUUCUCUUUGUGUUCAGGAGGUGGCUUCUCCACUGGAGGCUUGUGUUCAGGAGGUGGCUUCUCCACCGGAGGCUUGUGUUCAGGAGGUGGCUUCUCCACCGGAGGCUUGUGUUCAGGAGGUGGCUUCUCCACCGGAGGCUUAUGCUCUGGUGGUGGCUUCUCCACCGGAGGCUUAUGCUCUGGUGGUGGCUUCUCCACCGGAGGCUUAUGCAAUGGUGGUGGCUUCUCCACCGGAGGCUUGUGUUCAGGAGGUGGCUUCUCUACCGGAGGCUUAUGCUCUGGUGGUGGCUUCUCCACCGGAGGCUUAUGCUCUGGUGGUGGCUUCUCCACCGGAGGCUUGUGUUCAGGAGGUGGCUUCUCCACCGGAGGCUUGUGUUCAGGAGGUGGCUUCUCCACCGGAGGCUUGUGCUCUGGUGGUGGCUUCUCCACCGGAGGCUUAUGCUCUGGUGGUGGCUUCUCCACCGGAGGCUUGUGUUCAGGAGGUGGCUUCUCCACCGGAGGCUUAUGCUCUGGUGGUGGCUUCUCCACCGGAGGCUUGUGUUCAGGAGGUGGCUUCUCCACCGGAGGCUUAUGCUCUGGUGGUGGCUUCUCCACAGGAGGCUUGUGUUCAGGAGGUGGCUUCUCCACCGGAGGCUUAUGCUCUGGUGGUGGCUUCUCGAAUGGGGGAUGCGUAGGGUAAUCAGCUAGUGAGGGGGCGGUGAGAACCACCAGGCCAAGCAACACUACUAGCAAGUAUGUAGGAGACAUCUUUGGGUUUGGGCUCAGAUGGUGCAAAACUAGGAGAAUUGGCUAGCCUUUUAUAGCGGAUCGUACCCAAUAAUGAAAUGACACGUGUCAUUAUGACCCAUGUGUCAUGUGGUCGAUUUGGGUCCUACAGUGUUGAAAACUUCGACAUCCACUUUUUUGGCCUUUUGCUUUCUCUACAGUCGCCUUGCUUUUUCCCUCUUUUCUUUUGUUUUCCUCCUGCCCCAUUCUAUCAACUAAUCACAAUUAUGUAGUUGUUUAAUUCUUAAAUGAGAUAUUAUCCGUCAAUCAUAUUAUCUUUUAUCAAGAGAGAACGGAGUGAAAAGUGGCAAUCCAAAGAAAGAAGAUCCAUAAUGCAGCUGUAAUUUUAUCGUUUACUUUUAUCUCUAGGACCACUGCAUUUUUGUUGAGAGGUGCAAUAAUACACGUCUUUAUCUGCCAUUCAAUGUUUACAGUAAAGAGAGGGCACAAAACUCUUCACUGCUCUGCAUGUGCCCCAAAAAUGCAAUUGGACAAAUUAUGAUUUGCAUGCUAAAAAGAGGCAAAUGAGGUUAAUUAGCACCAAAAUUAUUUUGUUUUCUGGACACCCCGGGGCCCUUUGGUUGGUUUGGGGGUCAGAAAAUGAACAUCAUAGGGGGUUUUUCCCUAAUGUGCAUUUGCAUUUGUAUCUGAUGGCUUUAACUCGCCUUGUUACUACAAAGAAAUUGUCACAGAUAGGAACUUAUUCCAGGCUGAGUAUCUCCGCAUGGACCCUAUAAAAGAAGACAAGUCAUAAUGAACAUCUAACCUUUGUUCAAUUUGAUUCAAUGCCCCUAUUGUGUCCAUCUCACAAAUCUGAAUUAUUAUAUCCAUUGAAUACAUAAAUUAAUGAAGAAAAUAUGAAACCCAAGAUACAUCUCUGCACAACCUCAACCCUGGUUGCUAUGUUUCACUUCUAUUCACAUGAGGAUAUUGAUUACGGAAUAAGGAAACCUAGCAAGGGUUUACUCGGCUCUGGUUUGAUGCUAAUUGCCAAACUUGCAACAAGCCCUGAGUUUGACACCUAAUCGAUGGGCGAAUUAAAAGUCUCCUCCAAACAUAUAUUCCACAGCUUGAAGCUCACAGAAGAUGCUAUACAGGCAGGGAAAAACCUUCAGAGUUAGCUACCAAAGAUAAUUAUCAAGGAGAUAUCACCAAGAGAAUUCCAUGGAGUCUGAAUCAAAGACAAAUUGCUCGCUCGUGGGGGUUCUUACUUAAUUUCUUUUGGGUAUAACUCACUGAGGGCACUGGCUUUGUUAUUUGCAUUUCGCAUUUAGAGUUCUGUUCUGGAAGGUUUGUUCUGGAAACAUAUAAAAGGAGCAUCAUUUUGUUCUAGGGUAACCCAUAGUUGUGAGUGGGUCCAUUUGCAUGCUACUUAGUUGAAAAGUUGGACAAUUUGCUCCGACGCCUACCUCCUGGAUUCCAUGCUCGGAUAAAGCAAGAAUAAUAAAAUAUUUAUAAUUUACAAAUGGGGGAAAGAAAAAAAUGUCAACAACAAACUAGGAAAAAAGAGUAGUAAAAUUUAUGCCACAUGCUAUUGAUAGAAGGGGCAUGUAUUAGAUCCAUCACCAUUUGGUAAGAUUUUAGUAUUAUAUUUUUCAAGGUUCAUUAUUUGAGGGUGUGUUCUUCAUCUCUGUUGCAUUGCUUCUUACUAGGCCCACUGAGGUGGGUUCUUCACCUUUUGUAUAUUCUCUGCACUAGAUCAAUGAGAAAGGGGGAAUUUUGGUGAAUUUGCAGCCGUUGGAUGAUUGAUUCUAGGCUCAGUCCACCAAUGAUGCUCUCUUCACUCUUUCUCAUCUAGUGUCAUUCACAACUAUGUUUUGAUUCAUAUUUGUACUAUCAAAGAUAUCUCAUUAUUCUAGCUCAUUAGGUAGAGUUCCUAAUCUUCCUCCUUUUUGGUCUAUGGACAGUAUUGGCUUCAUAUUAAGAUCAUGUUUCAAUAAUUGCACAUUAAUGAAUGGAUCAUGACCCACAUAAACAGAGUCAGGGUUGAGUCAGUGAACCCUAAAAUUUCACAAUUCUAAAUUUGGGUUCUUUAACAAUGCAGGGUCAAGGACGCGUGGUGAUGAAGGAAAGCUGGUAAGCUCAGUGUUACUUCAAUUCCUGCCAUGUAGGAUGGUGAGGAGAUAUUCACUAUGCAAUUAAUAAUAGACAAUAUUCACUAUGCAAUAAUAAAGCAUAAAUUAAGUUGAAUGAAAAGCAUUUUCUUUGCAAGGAGUUGAUUUUGGUUUCAUAGUUUGUUCAACUGCUAUUUUGGAUAGGAAAGUGUGAGGAGAAGAAAAUAAAAAAUAAAAAUAAAACAAAAAAUAAAAAAUAGAUUUUAUAAAUUCAUUUAAUUUAUUUUUUUUUUAUAAAAAUUAACUAAUUUAAAAUAUAUGUAAAUUUCUAAUUAAUUUAAUUACAUUUUUUUUUUCAGUUUUUCAUAAUAAACCAAAUAUUAGAAAAUUAUUUUUAUUAAGACACCCAAGAUGAGGUAAUAUGCAAUGAAAACAUGAAUUAUAUUAAAAUUCAAAACAAAUUAAGAGAAAUCGGAAAAUAUACAUAGAUAUCUAAACAAAGAAAUUUAAAGAGAAGGAACCACAAACUUUAUUUACAUAAUUUGAAAAUAAAAAACAUAAAACAUACUUAUAGUAAGGAGAAAUUGAAUAUCUUACAAUGGAAGAAGGGAGAAAAGCUUUGAAGAAAGCUUUUGCUUGGAAGCUUACAUGGUGAGAGGUAGAGAAAGGAGAGAGAGAGAAGAAAAUGAAAAAUGAGAAGUGGAGAAAAUUGGAAGUUUUGUGUGCUUACAACUGAGGAUAGAGCCUCCUUAAAUAGCAAAAAAUGGAAUAUUAAAUAGUACCAAUCAGGAGACAAAAUAUUGUUUGCUUUUGAAACCCGUGCAUGAAUAGUAAUCCCGUGAGUGAAUAGUGAAUAAUAAAAGUGAAUAGUAAAAGUCACUUUCUACUAUAGCACUUUAGACUUUUUCAUCGAGAAUCUUACUUUCGGCUGAGUGAUGAUAGCUGAUAGGUUGCUUUGGAUUGUGGAGUCAUAUGUUUGAUGUUUUCGGUGCUGAAACCGCUUAGUUGGAGAAUAAUCUCGUCAGUAGAGCAUCAUGAGAAGCUUGAAUGGAGAGAGCUUAAUGAUGCCAUAUGAUUGGAAGGAAUCCUAUUUUAAUUUCCUUAUUGGAGGGAGAAUACCCUCACAAUCAUCUUCAUUAUCUUGAAGGUAGUUUGAUAUAGAGUCAUCUGACUCAGCAUAAGAGUCCUCUUGGGAGAAGCUUGAACUGCUUUUGUCAAGGAUUUUCUGAAAUUCUUGAGGGGUUUUUGCUAUUGCUAACAUGGUUUGGAGUUGCUGUUUCUUAAGAAGAAACUGUGCAAUAUCAUAAGAUGAUGAAGCUUGUGUAGGAUGCUUUAGGAAAUAUUGCUUUAUUGCUUGUAGUGAGGUAUCAUUUUUCAAGGCAUCCCACCACUUAGACUUGAAAGUCCUUCCAAGGGUUGGAAAGGCUGCUGAUUCAUCUGCUAUAAUGAUAUAAUCCCACUGGACUAUCCAGGCAAGGCCAAAUUCACUAAAAAAGAAUAAUAAUUGGGGAAAACUGAAAGUUCUCUAGGGAUAACAAAAGAACUUUGGAAUAGCUCAAAGCCAUCCAAAAUGGGUUUUGGGAGAAUUUUAAUAGUUGGACCAAAAUAUGUCCACCAAUUGUGGAACCAAAAUGGAAAAGAGGGGAGUUGAUGCUUAGAUGGGAAAUAGAACAUCCCUGAAUGAUGGAAGUCCUUGUUCUGGAUCAGAAAAGCAUUGAACCAUACUCUUUGGUAGUCUCAAUAAUUGAAAAUUUUAGGUUUUGAAGGCUUAGAAAAUUCUCUUGAAAAAUUAGGAUUCCCACCCCACUGCUUAACUGUAAGGAUUUUAUAAAUAUGGUAAGUGGAGAAUGCCAAAUCCAAAUUGCUGAAUUUAUCAGCAUUGUGCUUGAUUUUAACAGAGCCGGUUUCCAUAAGGAUUGCUUCAUAAAAUUCUCUUGUUUUUAAAAGAUCACCAAAGGGAUAAUGAAAAUUUUCAUGAAAAGCUUUUGCUGCAAUAUCUCUAGGGUUUUUAGAGAAAAACUCUUUUUCAAUAACCAAAAGAGGUUGAUUUAAAUCUUUUUGCCAAUAUCUUGCUUUUGCUGAAAGAGGUGUGGGGUUGGCUACCACCACAAUUUGCUUAUUUGAAAAAGAAGAGCUUGAUGCUAAUUCAUUUUGAGAGGGAUUAGCUUUAGUAACCUGCUUAAAGGUCUGAGACACAGUAAUAGUUGGAUACUGAGUAGCCUUGACUGGUUUAGAAGGAUUCGAAGGAUCAUAGUACAAGGACAAAAUCUUAUUAGGCAUAUGGUCAGAAGAAUGAAGCCUUGCUUCUUCUUCUAGCUCAACUUGUUGGCUCCAAAGUAUUUUAUGGGGAGAAGGUUCUUUGCUGGUUUUAGAAGACUAGGAUUCUGGAAGUUUAGGAGCUUGGGUAUUCUUUUUAGGGGCCAUGGUUUCGUGAAUCCUGUAAAAUUCACAAGUUAAGAAAUCAGGGCUCGAAGAAUGUUCUCCUUUAAUAUACUCAAUUUGUAAAUUAAAAUUGCUUAAAAUAGCUUGAUAUAUAGCAAAAAUAUGCUUAGAAGUUAUAUUCUUAACAUCCUUUUGUAAAACUAAUUUUGCAAAUUUACAAUCAACUCUUAAUAAAAACUUUUGAUUCAAAAGAUCAUCUUGAAAUUUUGAAAUGCAUAAAACAACGCUUAAAGUCUCUUUUUUAAUGAUGUUAUGAAUGAGUUGGGUAGUAUUCCAGGUUCUUGAAGUAUACCUAACUAACAUCUCAAGGUUACCAACACUUUGCUUAAGAAUCCCACCAUAACCUAUGUCUGAGGUAUCGAUCCCAACAAACUCAAAGGUUUCUGGAUUGAUAGAGCCUAAACAUGGUAGGGUCUUGACUUUGGACUUAACAUCAAUAAUGAAAACAAUGGUGAAAACAGAAAACUGGUUAAAGUUUUCAUCCAUUAUAUUCUGGAAUUCUGAGGUGCAUUCUUAAGAUCAAAGGGCAUUAUGAACCAUUCAUAAUGUCCAAGAGAUACCACAAAGGUGGUCUUAUUUGGAAUAGGACACCUAAUCCAACUUAAUGUAUCAUUAAGAGGCAUGUAGUUGACGACUAGUCUAGGUGUUCCUUUUUCUGAUUCAACUUGUUCCUGAACAUAGAAGGUUGAACAACUCCAAAGGGACUUAGACUUCCUUAUCAACUUUUUAUCAAGAAGAUCCCAAAUCUCCUUAUCACAAUAGCUUAACAAACCCUUGUUCAUCUGGAUAGGUCUUGAUUUAGUGGGAAUAUUCUUGUCACUAAAGUCUAGUUCAUAAGGUAAUUCUACCUCAUGUUGUUUCCUAUGCCAAAAUGCAUUAGGAAUGUUAGAGCAAACUUCUUCAACAAUCAGAUUAAUUUCUUGCUCAUGACUUUCCUUAGCUUGAAUCACCUGAUCCCUUAAGGUGUUUAUAUUUUUCUUAUUAGGUGGUUGGCAAAUUCAAAAAUAAUUUCCUUAUCUAAGAGCUUUGUUCUUAUACUUUGGUCAUCUACCCACAUGGGAUAGAUGGAGCUUAAAAAGGGGAUUCCAAGGAGAGCUUUCUCCUUAAGAUCCUUAACUAGAAUGAAGGUUUGCUUGAUGCAAAUGCCUUGGUUAUUUAUGUGAGCAUCUGACAGCUUAUACUCAAUGUCAAGCCUUUUACCAUUAGCUCCAAAGAGAGAUUCUUUGGUUUUCUUACAAAACUUAAUAGGACCUAGACCUUCUUGUAGGCAAUUCAAAGCUGUUCCUGAAUCAAUCAAAGCAACAAUAUCAAUGACAAAUUUACUCUUAAUUACUAUAGUAAGGGAGACUUUCCACCUCUGGAAAAUAACCCUACUAACAGUAUUUAAGUAUCCAUCCGUCUUUUCAUCAUUAGCAUGUGAAGAUUCUAGAACCUCUUCAAGGUUUUCCUAGUUAUCAACAAGAUUUUCUAUAACAAUCCUAUUUAUUUGUUCUUGGAGAUCUGAAAAACCUAAGCUUGUGUAUUGUCUUAAAUCUUUAAUUUCCUUCUUAUACUGUCUUACUUCUUCUUGAAGAUCCUUAAUGGUUACGUCUUUGGUAGACUACUGGUUAAAUCUUCCUAAGAUUUCAUUUAAGUUAUAAGAAUUUACUGUCUUCUUAAUCUCUUGCUUAUCGACAAAUUUCUUAAAAACUUCAUAAAGAUCUUGUUUAGUUUUUUCAUCUUCAACUUUCCUUAAAACAUCUAGGACAAGUUCUUGAUCUUGGCUUAUGACAUUUAUAGUCUUAGGUUGGCAAUCACAAUUAUCCUUAAUGUAUUCUUCUUGGUCACUAGAAGUUUGGCUUGAGAUUUCCUCACCACUACUAUCUAGUUGGUUAAUACCAUUUUCAUUAUCUGAAUCAAUCCUUGAUUCAGACUCUGUGGAAUUUAACAUUACUUUACAAAGCAUAUCUUUUAAGUCUUCUGUGACAUUUAAGUUAUUAAUUUUCUGCUUAACCCUACAAUCUUUCUUAUAGUGGCCUAUCUUACCACACUUAAAACAAACUGGCUUAGAUUGUGAAGGAGCUUCUAGCUUUUUAUGGGCUUCUUUGUUCAUCAUUCUUUGGAUGUGCCUUUGUUUCUUAGUUUCAUUCAUCCUAUAGUUGCCAUGAGUUCCUCUCUUGUUGUGAUAGGACUUUUCCUUACUAGGCUUUGUACUUACUUGUUUCUUACGUUGCUUAGAGGGGGGCUUAGUUUCUUUUUGGUUGAAUCCAAACUAGCUACAAAAUGAACCAAACUCAUUCUUGUAGAUCCUUUGUUCAUUUUUCAUCUGUUGCUUAAGCUUAAAGUCAUUGCACAGUUUAAUUGCUUCUGAUGUGACAAUGCUUAUAAUUUCUCCAUAAGAAAGCUUAUCAUAAGGGAUUUGUCCAUUAAACUGUUCCCUUAUCUUAAUCCUAAUCCUCUCAGAGAAAAGUCUAGGUAGUCCUAAGAUGAAUUUUUCUUUCCAAAAAGACUGGUUAUAGUUUGAUCUUAGUAUGACUUUGGUUAGGAAAACUUCUCUAUACCAUCUAAAGUCAUGAAGCUUGGGACACUUAAGGUUGGUUAAGAGAUCUACAAUCUUAUCCUUAAUCUUUGCAGGAUCUCCAAUGAAGUGCUUUGAAAUUGAAUAGAUUAGAGUAGCCACUACAUCCUCUAUAUCUUGUCCAUCUUCAUCCUUAACCACUUCAUUUUCCUCAUUAAUCCUAUAGGCUUUUAGGAUACCAUUUCUAUCCUCAAAGGUGAGAUAAUUAUCCCACCAACCCUAAAGUUGACCUGUAAACCCAACAACAAUUGUUUGAGCUACAGCAUGGCCUGACAAUCUAUUGUUUAACUUAUAGGUUGUACUAACCAUGGUCAUUUCUUGAAGCUUAGUGAGUAUGUUGUACUCAAUCAUACCAUCUAUGUUCCAUUCAUAGAUAGUGUCACUAGUGUAGGAAGCUUGAGUAUGCUGGUUUCUUUCCUCAUACUACAUAUCAGGAAAAGUUGGUCUAGGGUAGUAAUUCCUAGUUCUUGGUUGUUGAUAAUCCUCAUAACUGUUUGGUUAGGAGGUUCCUUAAAAAUCUUAAUUAGUUCAUCAGCCUCUGCUUCAGAACUAAUUUCUCCUUUAACCAUAUUGAUUCUCUUGUGAGAUGGUUGAGGUGUCUCAGAGACAACAAGGCUAUCCUUAACCUUUUGGCUUAUCCUAUCAAUGAGGGCUUGAUCAAUAUGGAGAUUCUCUAGGAAUUUCUUAGAGAAUUCAAAAGGCUUAAAUAAAGACUUAUUAUCUUUCUUAACAAACGUAGUCUUAAUGUAGUCUUGUGUUUCAAUGAUAUCCUCAAACUUGUUGAGUUGAUCGCCUGUAGUCUUAAGAAACAUGUUAGUGUAGUUGUUUUGUUCCAUGAUUCUUCUAACGUCAACAACACUAUCAAUUCCUUUAUUCUUUGGCCUAGUCUUAAAAGGUGAAGCUUUGACUAUGGUUCAAUUAAUGUUCUUUUAUAUCUUAGCUUCUAGAGGGUGGAUGGAUUCUAUGAUAGUAUCGUCACUAGUUUUCCAUAUCUUAGUUUUUUUGGAUGUGUCAUUGACACGCUUACUAGGGUAAUCUAGAUAUUCCUCUUGUUUGAAGAGUUCAAACCAGAUCCAAUACUUAAUGUUCUUCUUUUCUUGUCUUAAGUAUGUGUAGAAUUCUUCUUGGUAGAGGGUUCUAAUGUCUUUAAGGACCUUGCUAAAGAACCAAACUCUCCUUUUCUUAUUGACUUCAGAAUAGAAGUCUUUCCUUAAGAGGUCCUUGUUGAUUCAAAGUCUUCGUUAAUUAGGCUUACAGUGUUAAUCAACUGAGAAUAAGUAGGAGACAUAUCAGGAGAUUCGUCCUGAUGUGAUUCUUGAGUAAACUCAUUUUCCUCCAUGUAAAAGGGUUUGGCCACGUUGGUGUGACUUCUAACACCUGUUAGCUUAAUAUUCUUAGGAUUUGCUGAACUAGAUCCUUCCUCUAUCCUAGUGGUUCUUAUUGGGAUAGAUGAACUUGAAGCUCUAGAGGGCUCAUAAUAUGAAAUUCUAAGGCUGCUAGAAUGAUGAAAAGAGUUGGAGAAAAUUAGAUCUCGUUCUCCAUCAGGAUAUUGAACAAUCUGUUCAAUUCUUUCAGAUCUUUGCUCUAUGGCUGGGACAACAUUAGCAAAAUGCCAAUUUUCUGGAAACUCAACCUCAUUCCACUUGAUUUUCAUGGGGACUAUGAAAUUAGACUUGUUUAUCAUAUCUAAGUGGAAGAUAGUGGUUUCACCCUUGGGACUGGUGCACAAUGCUCCAAAUCCAACGCUUAUGGUCAUGCUCUUAUAGGCAAAUCUGGUGAUGAUGGAAACAUGAUUGUUUCCUUGCUUGAACUUAAAGUCAUGGGUCUUAACAUGAAGGACAACUGAAUCUAAGAUGUUGACAUCUCUUAGUCUAACUGUGAAGUUAGGGAAACACUGGAAAUAAACAGGACCAUCAUUUAAUCCUGCUUGGGUAGCUCCAAUAAUAGAAUCUCGGUAAUCAAGAUGUCUAUUAUCUCUUAAACACAUGACAAUAAAGGUGUUUAGACCUAGUCUUGUCAAGGGCUUAGCUGCAACUUGAAUCAUGCCAAAGUGUAUGAAGUUGUAGUCUCGCUUAUGCUUAUCAAUGGACUUACUAUCCAAGAGUCUUAUGACUUGAUCGUCGUGUUCUAAACUUACUGACAUUUCAGGGGUUUUAAUGGUGUAAUCUGUAAAGAACUUAAAGGUUCCUUUCUUAUAAAUUUCUUGAUUAGGUACCUUGGGUAACUUCCAAUCAUCUAAAUCAUCUUGGAUCUUAGGAUAAUUGAUCUCUUCAUUGUUUACUCUUGAGAAUUUGUGGAUUUCCUAGACAUGGUUCUGAAAAUCAAACUCAUUUUAAGGUUUUAAUCUAGAGCCUAAUAGCAGAUUAACAGACCUAGUGAGUAAUCACCCCAACCCUUUUCCAACCUUAACAAACGCCUAUCUCCAGCUAACAAUGGGCUCAACUCGGCAAGGAUCGCACUCAGGCACACUACUAUCUUUCCUAGGAUAGAUCAAAACACCCAAAACAAACCCGACUUCCUUUUCCUAGGAUAUAUAUAGUAUUUUGGGUUUGAGUAGGAGUUCAUGUUUUGUAUGUAAUUGUAGUCUACGUUGGACUAGGUUGUUUGCUCCUAAUUGAAAUAGGAAUGGUUGGUGUCACAUCUCAUUCAUUUUCUCAUCUAUUUCCAUGUUUAGAUAACUCAAGUAAUCAUAGGAAUGAAAUUAAGAAUGAUUUGAGGGAAAUGAAAUCUCACUUGUAAGUGGGAUCUCAAUUCAUCAUUAAUAGAAGGUAUUUUGAUUACAUAGUGCAAGUUAUUUUUAAAAACACUUUUCAAAAAUUGAAAAACCAAAAACUCUCUUGGAUAAGUUGUUUUUAAAAAGAAUUUUUGUAUUUUUAUUUUGUAAAAAAAAAAAAUAGUAAUUCAAUUUAUAUAAUAUAAAUAGACUUUAAUUUUAUUAAAAAUAAAAAUAAUUUUUUAAUUACAAAUAAAUUAAAAAAUAAAUAUUUGUAAUAAAAUAUGAAUAGUAAUAUUAUAAUAAAAUCAUAAAUAAAUUAAAAAUAUUUUUAAAAACAAAUAAGUUUAAUUUUUUUGAGGUACAAAUGAGCCAAAUUUUUCAUUAGGUACACAACCAACAAUUUUUAUUGGAAACAUUCCUCAAAAAAGAAUUCGUUUCCCAUAUAGCAAAGAUAUUUAUUAUUUAGUAUCUAACCAUCCGUAGUAAUCAUAUCAAUUCUACUAAGUUAUUUAAUAAUUCAUUUAUAUAUAGUACUCAAUUAUGAAUUUUUUUAUUUGAUGUAUAAUUAAUUAAUCAAUGUUUUGAAUUUUGAAUUAUUCUUAAAAUUUAAAACAUUAAUUAUGUCUAUUACUUUUUAUAGUCAUUAUAUAUAUAUAUAUAUAUAUAUAUAGAGAGAGAGAGAGAGAGAGAGAGAGAGAGCUUAAAUUUAUCUUUAAAAAUUAUUAAAUUUAUUAAUAAAUUCAAUACAAAGACUCAUUUGAUUUGAAAUUCAUUUCUUUAGUGAAAAUUUUGAAACUAAAUAGUACUUUGUUUUACUUUGUUUUUAAAUCAUACUCACAAAUAAGUUUUUAUCAUUUAGCCAAAAAAUCUCAAAGAUGUUUCUAAUUUUAUUUAUUUAUUUAUUUGUAAAUGAAAAUAAAAAAUUAGUUUAAACUAAAUAUGCGGAUAUUAUUGUUAAUUUAUUUCAUUUUUUAUUUCCAUUGUUAUUUAACAUUGAAACGGAAACAAAUAAUCAUUCCAAUCUUACAUUCUUAUAUGCAUCUAAACACAAGAAUUGAAAUCACCAAAUUCAUAUUCAAGGCAAAAUAGAAAUGGAAAAAAAAUAUUCAUUUUCAUUCCUCAUUCUCAUGUGCUAAACAUGACAUUAGUUCUACUACCUAUUUCACCAUUCUUCUUGAUAAAUUUGGUAUAUGCAAUAUUGAUCUAAGUGUGAGGUGAAUAAGAAUGAUGAUGGGAUGGGCUUGGAAAUAAGGGCAAAGUUUCUAGGUGCUAUCUAGAGGGGCAACGCGACUUUUUCAAAUUUCGAAUAUUUGUUCUCAACAUAAAGCAAAACUUUACUCACACAAUAGAUAAGACUCUGUUUGUUUUCUUCAUCCACGACUAUAUAAUGUAUAGCUCUUACUCAAGGGAUGAGCUACUUACUAUUAAGGAUUGGGUAAGAUAUUGCCUAAUGGCCAAGAAGGCAUGUCAAAAAAUAAAUCUAAUCACCAUAAAAAAUAAUAGGGGAAAAUUAAUAUAUUAUGAAUGAUGACUUUACUAUUUCUCUAUAUACAUAAUUAUAUAUUUUGAAUUUUCUCACUAGGUAAUGAGAUUCUAAAUCAACUGAAACAUAAUUAAUAAUUUAUAUUUUUAAUGAAUCUUUUAAUUUUUAAAAAUAAUUUAAAAUUUUAAAAAACAAUUCAAUUAAUUACAUAUUAAAUCAAAACAUUUCAAAAUAUUGUGUUUGUAGAUGAGUACUAAAUGCUUGCAUAUAAUAAUAAUAAUAAAAAAAUUGACUCAUUUAGAUGUUAAAAAAGUUAAAUGUUUUUCAUUAUUCAUUUUAAGUAAAAUAUUAUUGACAUUAUUAUUAUAAAAUUAUUAUUAUUCAUUUUUAACAAAAAACAAAAUAAGUUAUUCUUUUACCAAGAUGUCAAUAUCUAUAUUUUUCUAACAUAUAUUAAAAUAGUAUACUUUUCUUUUAUUAAAAAUAAUAAUUAUUAUUAUAUUAUUAUUCAAGUUUUAUUAAAAAAAUUUAUCUUUUAAUUCAUUUGUAAUUACAAAAUAAUUUUAUUUUAUUAAGAAUUUAAUUUAAUUACGCUUUUUUUUUUUAUAAAAAAAACAGUUAUGCUUUUACCAAGAUGUUAAUAUUCAUAUUUUUCUAGCUAACAUAAAUAGAAUAGUACACUUUUUCAUAUAAAAAAAUAAUUUAUGAUUUUAUUAUAAUGUUACUAUUCACAUUUUACUAAAAAUAUUUAUUUAUUUUAUUUAUUUUUAAUUAUAAAAUAAUUUUAUUUUCAAGAAUUUAAUUUUAAAAAAAUAGAAAUCAUUUAUUCUUUUACCAAGAUGUUAAUAAACAUAUUUUUCUAACAUAUACUAAAAUAAAAAAGUUUACUUGUUCAUUAAAAAAUAUAAUUUAUGUUUUUAUUAUAAUACUACUAUCUAUGUUCUACUAAAAAUAUUUAUUUAUAAUUAAAAAAUAAUUUCAUUUUUAAUAAGACUUGAACUAAAUUAAAUUUAUAAUUUUUUUUUAAAAUAAAAUAGAAAAUUAUUUUUUAAAAACAACUUAUUGAAAGAAAUUUUUUAUUCUUUACUUUUAAGAACUGUUUUUAAAAGCAACCUAUAAACCCCUUUGGGUCUGUUUGGCUAUGUUUCAUGCAACUUGUUUUUAAAAAUUGUUUUUUAUUCUUUAAUUUAAUUUUUUUUAAGUUAAAGAAUAAAAAACAACUUUCUAGUGUUUUAUAAAAAUGAGAGCUUUUGACAAGUUGUUUUUAAAAACCAUUUUUAAAAAUAAAAAAUAAAAAACUUAUUUAGAUAAAUUGUUAUAUAUAUAUAUAUAUAUAUAUUUGUAAAAACAUUUUAAAUUCAAUUUAUAUAAUAUAAAUUUAAUUUAAUUUAAGUCUUAUUAAAAAAAAAUUGUUUGGAUAAGUUUUUUUUUUUAAAUAGUUUAUUAUUUUUGUUUUGUAAAAACAUUGCAAAUUCAAUUUAUAUAAUAUAAAUUAAUUUAAUUCAAGUCUUAUUAAAACCAAAAUAAUUUUAUAAUUACAAAUAAAUUUAAAAAUAAUUUUUUUAGUAAAACAUGAAUAAUAAAAUUAUAAAUUAUAUUAUUGUGGACCCUGCAUUUAUGCUCAUGCGCUUCCACUUGUUGGCGAACUCAUUUUUUAUUUGAAAAUGAUUUAUUUUUUUAGAAAAUGACUUAGAGUCGCCACUUAUUUUUGUUUUAUUUUUAAAGGGCAAGCAAAAUAAGAAAGAAAACCCUAAGUGUGACUCCUUAUUCGAAAAAGGUAGUCUGUGUAAAACCGGAUCAGGGUUCAGGGAUCAGGUUACUUAUUGGGAAGGUAUGACAAUGACCGUAGCACUCCUCUAAGUCCUUAAAAACGGGCCUCUACUAAAAAAAAUAAAGUAAUCAUGGCAAUCAGUAAGGAAAUCACUGGAUACCCAGAACAAUUAUGCACAUGUGAGAAUUAAAACAUGCAUAAGAAUGGACAAAGUGAGAGUGGGUGCGUACCUUGACAACGAACCACAAUGCGUUAUCAAGAAAUGGGGUUAGUGCACGAUCAAUGAACAUAAAACACGUCACACAUGUCACUAAGCAGAGUGAGAAAUCAUCAGAUAUUACAAUUCAAUCAAAUUUAUUUUUAGAAGAAACAUCUGUUGAUGUAGAGCCCCUACCAAAGCCUAAUUUAUUUUUGCAUGAAUCAAUUUCAUAAAUUCAAUCGCUUGGAAUUACAGAAUUAAAUUCAUGCUUAUUUUAAAACAUCUUUUUAAAAUCAUGGAAGAUGUGAAAAUGGUUUUCCAAAGAGAAAAUGACAACUGAUUUUAUUGAAAAUGGGAUUUUGGGGACCUAAACGUUAAAGAGGGAUUAGGAAUUGAAAAUUAAAUCAUUUGAAAAUUGAAUUUUUCAAAAAUCAGUUUUGAAAGCAUGCAUGCAAGUAUGGACUGUGAAAGUGGGCCUAGGGAGGGUGGCCAUGCAAAAUGAGGUCAUACACGUGGGCCUUGGGUACAAUUGGGACUACUUUGCUGGUGCCAGUGGUGCUUGCAGCUGUCAUCCAUGAUUUCUUCAUUGGGAUCAAUUUCCAUUCUUACUGCCAAACAUUCCAUAACAAUUGACCAAACUAGUAACCCUGACCUUGCAUGAAAAUGAACGUUACCUAGAAACUCACUGCCAGUGAGAUUCAUUGCUCUUUCAAAAGGUCUCAUUUUCUUUCUCAUCCAAUUGCUUUAAGGAGCAUUCUAGCGUCACGAUUGGUGACUGCGCAUCAUCUAGAGCCUUCUUUCUUCUCAGAAUCAGGUUUGCGUGCAGAGGCCUGUGCUUGUUCAAGGUUGACCUAAAUUCAUCUAGGUUUAGAACCGACCAGUUGAGCUUGGGGAGCAACGACAAGAAUAUCAGUCACUUGCGAAGAGAAAACUCGAGAUCUUUCAAGUAAUGCCUGACAUAGAUUCCUCCAACCUGUGGCCAAUAUCUCAUUCCUUGUUGGCCAGACGCCUAUUAGGGCGUAUCUCAAUCAAUAAUAUGAUUUUUCGUUUGUUCACAAUAAAGACCGGAAGCCAUGGUUGUGAUUUAUGCAGUACAGAAGAAGUUGCCAUGGCUGGUAUCCUUACAAAUUCUGGUGUUUCUGCUAUCUGUUCAAGUGCAAAACACAACAGCUUUAUCAAGUUUGUCCCUAACAACUGAUAUUGAGCCCUCUGGAGGAAACCUUGAUAAAUUCAUAAUCACUUUUGACUCAUGCAUGGGCUGCCCAUCAAAUUUUCCUAGCAACGAGACGACUGCUGUCAUCUACUGCAAAGAGAAUUUCUUCUCGCAAAGACAAGAGGAGUUUAAGAAUACACACUAUUCUGCCAUUUCAUUUCCUCUUUCUCCACAACCAACAUAAACCAUAGUGUCUACAUUAGAGUACUUAGAAAGAGCUUAACUGAUGACCGUUUUUCCACAACCAAAUGCCCCAGGUAUGGCACAAAUUUCACCGAAAACAGAAGGGAAAAGGGCAUCAAGAACACGCUGUCCUGUAAGUAGUGGGGUAUCAGGACUACUCUAGGGAAGUUAUUUCUGUCAUUUUGAAAAAGAAAAAUUAAAGAAUGUACACAUGCUUUCAAGUGGACUGGAGCAUUCUACAUAUCAGGUGGUCUGUAGCCACAUGUGCCACUUUGUGGAAGUUGGAACAGUCGAUCACUAGGCUAUUUAGUGUGGCCAAGCCACGUUAAUCAAGGACAAGUCUUCAUACUUAAAAGUCAAAUGGUGCCUUUAGUCUCAUUACACAUGGCUAUUUAAAGAUGAACUAAUCUUUAGUGUAAUGUGAUUAAGACAGUACUAACUGAUCAAUAUUUUUUCUAAUUUUGGAUGCAAAUGCUUGCUGGCUUCAUCAUUGGAUGGGAUAAAGGUGCAUUCAUGACUCUGAAUACUUGCAGUAAUACUUGCAGUAAUACUUCAUUCUCUUUUUUCUCGAUGAGACUUCUUGGCACAAUUUUGCUUCUCAGCAACCUACCUCUCCAUGGAAAAUGAGUUGCGAUUGAUGGUACUGGAUAUUUUCUAGGAAGCUAAAUAUAGAUAUAUAGCACUCAAUGUCAACGAUAUAUAUAGCAUUAACAGUAUAUGUCUCAAUGCUCAUCAGCUACAAGCAAGGGACAAACACUUACAAUGAAUAACUCACGUCAACAUUCCUAAACAGGACAUAGAAGUGACAGAUCUAUAUAUAGAACACUGCAUAUGAGUCACAAGAAAAGAUAAUACGGGUGCAUAGCAGCUCUUAUAUUACAUAUUACUCAUACCGUUCAAAUUCACUCAGUUGGGAUGGGUGGGAGAAGGAGGCCUCUGGGGUGGCUUGUGCGUGUGAGAAGUGGAAGAAAGUUGAAUGGAAUGAAACUGAAAAACAGGGUAGAAUAGAGGUUUCUUGAAUCUUCUGAAAUCUUUAUUUUUCUGAGAUUUAUUCUCUGUUUUUGUGAGUCGUGACUCUACAUAUAUACAUGUAUUUAAAGUUAGUUAUGCCUUAUAACUAAUUAUCUAACAGUACCAAAACUAAUCAUCUAGUUGCAUGUUUCUAAUUAAUGCUAUUUAGUUACAACUAUAUAUGGCUUAACAUCCUCUCUCAAACUCAAAAGUCUAGCUAGAACAGUGAGUUUGCUUCAUAGAUUGAGAAAUUGUUGAAUAGGUAAGGCUUUGGUAAGAGCAUUAGCAAUCUGGUCAUAAGAAGGAAUGUGUUGAACCACCAAAGUCUUAUUGAGCACCUUUUCCUGAACAAAAUGGCAAUCUAGUUCCACAUGCUUAACUCGAGAAUGAAAAUAGGAUUGGCAGCAAGAAAGGUGGCUGAAAGAUUGUCAUAGAACAAAACAAAAUAGGAGAAUAAGAAGAUGAGAUAGAAAACUCCUGAAGAAGAUGUUGAAUCCAUUGAAGUUCAAAAGCAACAUUUGCUAAGGCCCUAUACUCAGCUUCAUUGCUGGAACGAGACACAACUUUCUGCUUACUGGAGUUCCAGGAGACUAGAUUAGAGCUAAAAAAGAUGCAAUGACCACUUGUACUUCGACGAUCAUCAGGGCAACCAACCCAAUCAACAUCAGCAUAAGCAGUAAGUUGAAAAUCAGGAGAAGAAUAAAAGGAAAGACCAAAGGAAGUAGUGCCCUUAAGAUAAUGCAACAAUCGUUUAACAACUUGCCAAUGAAGAUCAGUUGGUUAUUGCAUGAAUUGGCAAAGUUUAUUGAUAGAGAAAGAGAUGUCAGGCCUUGUAAUGGUACAAUAUUGCAGGGCUUCAACAAUGUUGCGAUAUUGAGAAGGGUCAGCCAAGAGGGAACCUUUAGAGGCAGAUAAAGUGUGAGAGGUAGUCAUUGGUGUAUCAAUAGGUUUAAAAUAUGGAAGACCAGCACGAGUUAACAAGUCCUGAAUAUAUUUGGUUUGGGAAAGAUGAAGAGAAGAUCCUUGCCAACAUACUUCUACACCCAAGAAGUAAUUCAGAAUACCAAGGUCCUUGAGAGCAAACUGAAAGUGUAAAGACGAAACCAUUUGGUGGACUAGCACGGUAUUAAGACCACUAACAAUAAUGUCAUCAACAUAGAUGAGAAUAAUGAUCAUGUCAGUCCCUUUCCGAAGAGGAGCUUGCUUCAGACCCUACAAGGCUUUGCGAAGUUUACAGAAAAAACCGGGUUUAGAAUGAUCAACAAAGCCUGGAGGUUGAACCAUGUAAACCUCUUCUUCUAACUCACCAUUGAGAAAGGCAUUAUUAACAUCUAAUUGUUCCACUAACCAACCAUGAGAAAUAGCAAGAGAAAGAACAAUUCAUAUAGUAGUUGGUUUAACAACAAGGCAAAAGGUUUCAAAAUAAUCAAUACCAUAUGUUUGAUUAAAACCCUUUGCAACUAAGUAGGCUUUAAAACGAUCAAUUGAGCCAUUAGCUUUGAGUUUCAGCUUGUAUAUCCAUUUACAACUAAUAAUGCGUGUAUUAACAGGUUUAGGAACCAAUGUCCAUGUGGAAUUGGUGAGAAGAGCAUCAUACUCAGUCUUCAUAGCAGCUUGCCAAUUAGGAUGCAAUAUUGCUUCUUUGAAAGAGGAGGGUUCGACAACAGUAGUUUGGAUAGCAAGGCUAAAUAUUUUUUUGGGUUUAAAAAUACCAUUUUGGCUACGAGUAACAAUAGUUCGGUUUGGAAGUGAAAGAGGAUCAGUGGAGGAGGCUGGAACAAGGGAUUGUGGUAAAGUAGGAAAGGAAGGUGGAUGAGAUGGAACAAAAUCAGUAGGGACAAUAAUGGGAGAAGAAAAAUUAGGUGGAGAAUGAUGAGGAUUCCUUGAAGAUGGUGUAGGAAUAGAGAGAAUACCAGAAUCAAGAAGUGUUAAAGAAGAGUUGGAUGAUGAUACUGGUUGACAGGAUAAAGACUUUGUUAAAAAUGGAAAUCGAGUUUCAUCAAAUACAACAUGACGAGAAGCAUAUAUCCGAGAGGAAGCCAUAUCCAAACAGAGGAAUCCCUUGUGUUUAGCACUAUAACCCAAAAAACAGCAAACAACAAAUAUAUUUGCUAGCUUGUGAGAAGCAUAAGGGCGAAGAUAAGGAAAACACAAGCAUCCAAAACUUCAAAGAGAUGUAUAAUAAGGUAAACGAUUAUAAAGAACUCCAUAAGGAGAAUUUUGUGAAAGAACAGCAGAGGGAAGGCAAUUUAUGAGAAAAAUGGCAGUUUGAAAUGCAAAUGACCAAUAUUUGAGAGGGUAUACCAGCUUGUAUUAACAAAGAAAGACCAACUUCCACAACAUGACGAUUCUUUCUUUCAACUCUUCAAUUUUGCUAAGGAGUAUAAUGACAAGAGACUUGAUGAAGAAGACCAUUUGUAGCCAAAUAAUUCUGAAAAGCUGAAACUGAAACUCAUCAAAUUGAUUUUUAGUAUCAAAUUUUCUUCAGACUGAACACAUUGAUUUUUAGUAUCAAAUUUUCUUUCAACCAUGGCUUGAAAAUGUUGGAACAUAAGUAAAGCUUCAUCUUUAGUUUCCAAAAGGUACAACCAUGAGAAUAUGCUAAAAUCAUCAAUUAGCAAGAGGAAAUAUUGAGCAUUACCAUUGACAGAAACUAUAGGAGUUGCACCCCAAAGAUCAACAUGGAUGAGACCGAAUGGUUUUAUUGCUCUAGAAGUGGAUAUUUCAAAUGGAAAACGAUGGCUUUUAGCCAACUGACAAGACUCACAUACAGAGUUAUUAUUGUCAUGUUUCAAAGGUAUUUUAUAAAGAGAUAAGAUUUUGGAAACUACAUUAAUAGAGGGAUGACCAAGUCUAUUAUGCCAAAGCCUCAAAGAACCAACGGCUAAAGUACUACUAGUAGAGUAAAAUACUAGUGGAUGACCAACAACUCUUGGUGUAGCAAGAAGUUUAUAGAGACCCUUCUCAAUUUUUCCUUGAAGAAGAGCAAGUCUCGUUUCCUGAUCCUUUACCACAAAAUGAGAAGAACGAAAUUCAAUAAAGGUGCCAUUGUUUGAGUAAAAUCGUUGCACGCUAACUAAGUUGGUGGUAAUAGAAGGAACAUGUAAGACAUCAUUGAAAAACAAAGAACCACUUGAAGAGGCAAGAGAAAAUUUACCAAUAUUUGCAAUGGAUAAACCCUUACCAUCUCCAACAAUUACUUUGUCACCACUGGUAAAUGGAUUAUGGAUUGUUAAAUUGUUAAGAUCAGAUGUGAGAUGAUGGGUAGCCUUUGUAUCAAGAAACCAAUAAGUGUCUCCCAUUGUUGCAGAAGUUGUAGUCAUAGCCUCAGGAUUGUUAGAGGUGGAAUGUUUAGAAUCUUUUGGCUGAUAAUCAGAGUUAAACCGAUACCAGCAUUGUAAAGCGGUGUGUCCGAACUUACAACCGAGAGAAAUAAUCUUUACUUAUUCUCUAAAAACUGUUCUUUAUUCCACACAUUAUUUCUAAAAACUGUUUCUAGAUAACAAUGACAAAAUAGUAUUAGGAAUUUUUAAAAAUAAAAAUUGUUUUUAAAUUACAUGAUCUAUAUCAUUCACAUUUGACCAUUAUAGCUUUGUUCAGGAAAACACUUGAAAGUAACCUUAUCGUGAUAAGAGAUAUAAGUUGGCUGUAGUUUCAAACUGAAAACAGAGGAUGGCAAUAGAAAGCAAAGCAUUAGUUAUCUGCAAUCAGUGGUGAUCAUGCCCCAUGUCAAUUUCGGACCCAUAUCUUAAAACCGUAUAAUUUGCAUUUCAACAUUUCUGAUUUCUCAGAUGUUUCAUACUCCACAGAAGAACAUUGUUUGUGAAAGCAUGCAUUUAUGCUGGAUUUUGGAUGAUGUGGGAACUGGGGCAAGGAUCAUAUGGAAGAGUGGUCGAUUUUUUCUGUACUUUAACAUUUGAAAUAGGAGCAGCACGGGCAUUUGUGGGGCUUAAUUGAUUUUGAAGCCUGAAAUUGCGUUUCUGUCAUUUUGUAAAAAAUAUGGCAGAUUCCAUGCUCUCAUAUGUUUGGUCUGUGGCCAUGUAUAGAUGCCACUUAGUGACCAGUUUGUAACUGUCAAUCAUAGUGUUUUGACUCUGGCUCAACAACAUCAGCCAUUGACGGAUUUUCAUACAUGCAAAUCAAAUAGUCUUCUUCCUCCCUUAGGAAUUUCGGUUUAAAUGUUAUUAAGCAUACAUUUGGCUGACAAUUAUUAACCACUUCAUGAUAUGGUUUCUUACCCUUAAUCAAUGGUUUCUAAGUGAAUAUAUGCAGAAGGAAAUCUGAACUGUAGACAGCAGUAUUGAUAAUUAUCAAUAUUCUUUAUAUAAGAGAAUAAACAACGUCAUAGUGAUCGUCGCCUACAAGAAAGGUACAUUUCCCAACAAGAUGUAGUUGUGACUGGUACAUGGACGUAAUUAACUCGUAGAAAAGGAUAAGACCAGUGCACGGCAGCUCUUAUUUUACAUGCUAAUUAUGCUAACCAAAGUCACUCAGUUGGGAUGGGAGGGAGAUGGAGGUUUGUGCGGUGGCUUGUGGGGCGGAGUUGGUGGCUUCUUUUCAGGAGCUUGUGGCUUUUUCGGAGCUGAAGGAGGCUCAAUCUUAUGAGGCGGCUUGUACGAGUCUUCUUUACUCUCGACAGGAGGGUGGCCAGGGUUGUGACCAUAAUGUGGUGGCUUCUCUCCCUUAGGUGGCUUGCCAACUGGGGUUGGUGGCUUGUGUUCAGGAAGUGGUUUCUCUCCCUUGGGAGGUUUACCAAUUGGGGUUGGUGGCUUGUGUUCUGGGAGUGGUUUCUCUCCCUUGGGAGGUUUAGUGGGUGACUUGUGUUCUGGAGGUGGCUUCUCCACCGGAGGCUUGUGCUCCGGUGGUGGCUUCUUGGUUGGAGGGGGCUUGGGGUAAUCAGCAAGAGAUGGGGGGGUGAGAACCACCACUCCAAGGAACAACACUAGCAAGUAUGUGGGAGACAUUUCUGAGUUUGAGCUGAUCAGAUGAUGCAAAACUAGAAGAAUUACGUGACCUUUUAUAGCAAGUAGCUCCCAAUACCCACAUGACACGUGUUACUGUGACCAUAAAUAUUAUAGGGUCCAUUUGUGCCCUACCGGGUUGAAAACUUGGACGCUUGGCCGAGGACACACCGAACUAUGGAGGACUAUUGACGUGUGAUCACAGCUUUUGGAUUUUUCUUCCUGUGCAGCUGUCUAGCGGUUGGCAUUAUUUUUUUAAUCUUAAAUAAAGGCAUAGUUAUAGAGUACAUUUAUAUAUCUUCAGAUAGCCAUUAAUAUAUUUGAUGAAGAAAGACAAGUGCAUACAACAUGUAUACGGCUUGCUUCAAUCGAGUACAUUUAUGAUCAGUUUUCCAGUGCAAGUAAACCAGUUUUUUGUUCCACAACUAUUUUGGAAUCUUGUUUAUCAGUUUCUAUCAUUAUAAUGUCACAUAGGCUGCAAACUUGGGCACCCAAAGAUCUAGUUGGGCAAAUUUGUUUCAGAAUUUCAAUGGUGGAUUCAGUAAUUGUUAAAAGGUGUUUCUUCAUUAAGGAAAGAGUCCUGUAAAAAUAUUGUUAAAAGGUGUCAUAGAAACUAUAAUAAUUAAAUAACUUCUUUUCCCCGUGGGUGGUGUUUCUUCUGGGGAUACCCAAAAUGAGUUCAGAUUAAAAUUGGUUCGAGUCAAAGCUGUCUCUUUUGUCCAGAAAUCAACUAUUUUGCGCAUUGCAUGAAUCGAUAAAGAAAAAAUGAAAGCCAAAUCACACCUCCCCUGCAAAACCUAAACCCCGGUUGCUAACUUUCUAUGUUUCAGUCCUAUUCAUACAGGAAUAUUGGUUCAAGUUUGAGAAAAAUGGCAACUUACCUAGGGAUUACUUGGUUGUGGUUUGCGACGACUAUUUACGCAACCAACCAUGAGUUUGACUUUAACGUCAUGGGUUGAAGCCUCCUACAAUCGUGUAUGAUAGUUCAAAGCUCGUAGUAGAAAUUAUACAGGAAGGAAGAAACCUCCAAAGCUAGCUCCAAAAGAGAAUUAUCACAUCGAUAGCUCCAGAGAUUCCCAAGGGGACUGAAUCAAAGACAAGUUCCUCACUUUUUCUUCUUUUGAGGCCAAAUAUGAACCAAGGAUCACACGACCUCAUUCAACUUCAUAAGUUUGAUUUCAUGCAGUUGAACACUGGGUGAAGGCCAUGACAAGAAUUGAUUAAAAAAUUCUACCACUGUUUUAAGUAAUGGAAGAUUAUUAUCUCUGAUUGGCACCACAACAGCACAUGCUGCUAGAUCUUUCUAGACACUCCAUGCAAUGAAAGUACAAUGGAUCUUGUAACGAUAGAAACUAAGCCAUGCUACAGUACUAGAUGACGAGGUAAAACUAUUAGACAUGGGUGGCAGCCUAUAUGGGAGGGACACAAGUCUAAUUGAUUUGCAUUUCAGCGUUCUAGAUGGGUAUGUUUUGGAAGAUUUGUUCUGGAAAUACCGCACCAAGUAGGAUUCUUUUUUCUCUUGAGUGGGUCCACUUGCAUGCCAAUUAUCGAGUUGAAAAGUAGAGCACCUACCUCGUGCUCGUGGAACCGAAGGUCAGUGAAGUGGGGCUCCUUUUGGCCUCUUGUGUUUCUGUUCCAACCAAGGCGGCGGAGGGAAAAACAGCAAUAUGUCUCCGCUAAAUAUCAACGCAUGAUAGCGAAUGAGGGAGAAAAAAAGUAAUUGGCAUCUCAAUCUCACAAACUUGGUACAGUAGUGACAUUAAUAGUCUUCCACAUGGUUUUUAUUUUAUUUUAUUUUAUAUUUUAUAUUUUCCAUUUUUUUAUUUUUUUGUAUGUCAAGGCUAAUGAAUAAAAUGCGUUAGCUUGUUUUGUGAUUGGAACUGCAAAUGUCCAAAUUGGAGUUUCUCCAUUUCUCAGUUCGGAUGGUUAACUUUAUAAACAAGAUAUAGGAAACAUGUGAACGUCUUGAGGAACAAUUCGAAUUAUUGAUUAGAACUCCUAGGUUGAGUUCCAAGAUUUAAAUCAGACCCCUCUAGCAGCUUCAGGGGUACCUAGCAAUUAGAACAUAUUAAUGAAGAUUUAGGAUUUAGACUCCGGAAUACAAAUUAAUAUGUAUCUUAUGCUCUGACUAGCUUCCCUGCAUAUGCACAAAAUGGAGAUGACCCAAAAAAUAGCAGAAUCGCCUUAGUUUAUGUGGUUAAGGUGAUUCUCCGGUUAAUAUCCACAUUGGCUCAUUAUGCAAAUCAACUGAGCUAUUUUUUUUUUAAUGUCAAAUAGGAACUCCUAAUUAACCUAACCAUUGGCCUGUGUAAAUUGAUUUCACAUGCACAAUGUUGUAGUAGAAGUCCACAUUUUGAAUUUUAUUUUUGGAAAGGUAAGGAAAAUGAAGCAUUGUGUAAUUAUAAAAAUAACUUCAUUGGAAUUCACAAGGUUCACCCAAAAUGGAGCUACAUCCGUAUUCUAUCUUACAGUAGACUAUAUAGAUUGUACAAUAGUAAAUUGCAAAUACAAUUAAUAAGUCUUGUGUUUCCUUACUAAUAAUCCUUUGACAUAAACAUUGCAGCACUAAGGUCCUCUUGGGCAGACACCUUGCACCCAUGAGAGCACUAAGAGGAAGCAAGGCGGAGUCAUGGGUGCAAUGUCAUGACUUGUUGCACUAAGAGAGGCUUGGUGAUGGCAUAGUGCUGCAGUAGCAAGAAUGUUGCCUUGGCAGGGACACGAUCUAGGGACAGAUGCCAAGAAAGGCUUAGCACUCACAUGAGUUGCACAAAGAUGAAUGAAAUAGAACAUCAAAGAGACAUCUUGGCAAGCUCAAGAAAGACAUGUGGGUUGGUAAAUGAAUGGAUGCAAGAGGCAACAACAUGAGGAGUUUCAAAUGGAUAGGGAAUGAGUCAAAGACAUUUGAAAGCUACAAGUUGGAUUCUAAUUACGAUUGCAAUUUGAGUUUGAGUAGGAGUUUAUAUUAUGAUUGUAAUUGUAGUAUGAGUUGGACUAGGAUUGCUUAUCCCUAGUCAAAAUAGGAGUUGUUCAUGCCACACCCUAUGAAAAGAGUUUGAGUAGGGACUAGGAUUGCUUGCUCCUAGUCAAAUAUGGAGUAGGUGGUGCCACACCUAUAAAAAAAAAAGGGACAACAUGAGAGAGAGAGAGAAUGAAUUCACCAAAGAUAUUGUGGGAGUUUUGCUUUGUUACAUCUUGUAUUAUUAUUUAGAAUAGUAAUAAAAUACAAGUUGGGGCUAGAGCCCCAUAAUCUCGUGUGCCUUUGUGGGUUAUUCUUUAUUUGCCAUCUCGUGUGGAUUGGAUUAGAUUGAUGAGGCGAAAUAUUAUGUGGGAAAUUUAUGUUGGGACACUUACCAUAACCAGGUAAAAUCUACCAAGUCUUUUGUAAUAUCUUCUACAAAUAUUUUAGACCAGUUCUUCACAAAACAUCAUAAUAUGUUUUGUGUUUCUCUUGGAUUUUGAGUUGAAUUGUCUUAGAUCAAUUGAAUGCAUCUCAAUAUUAUUAUCUUGUUUGAAGGCUUGAUGAUUUUCCAUUUAACUUUACUUUCUUUAGGUUAUGCUUGAUUCCUUAAAAGUACUAAGGAAAACAAAAAAUAAAAAAAAAUAAAAAAUGCAGAGGGUUAGGACAUGUGUUAUCUAAUUGUCCUAUCCAAAGAUAUUAAGAAAGUCAUGUAGGAAAGUAAUUGAAAACUAGGUCAAGAAAGGAGCAAAAGGGAAUUGUUUUGGUAUUUUCUUUUUUAUUCUUGAAGGUGGCAGAGCUAAAAUUUGAGAAAUCAAGCAAAACAUACUGAAAUUACAUUGAAAGAAAGAAAAUGGUAGUUAAUGUCUUGCAGUACAUGAUAAGGACUUCAUGCAUGUAGUGUGACGACCCAUGUCUUGGACUGAUGCCACACUCACGGUUACACUUAUACCCUUGGUUCUCUCUUUACUACCUUGGCUAACCUAGAUCAGGCUAUGAGAUAGGCUCCUCACCACACCAUCACUUGCCCAGUAAUUAGUGACAUUUUCAAGCAAUGAGGUAACAUGGUGACACCAAGAGGGUUUAUCCCUCGCCCCAACAAGUCUAGACUCGGUCUCAAAAAAAUGGAGAAAAAUGAGGUGUCGUUAUGCAGAAAUACAACAACCAUGCCUUCCUUAUUACUUAGAUUCAGAAUGUGAAGGUGAAAUUGAGAAACAGAAACUCUUGAAACCAGAAUGAAAAUUGAUACUUUUACGAAGAAUUACAACAUUAGAGGAAGACUACAUUCUUCCUCUAUAUUCCUACGUUUCUACACUACUUCUACUCCACUCCAUAUUUCUACAUACAUCUUUAAUCAGUUUUCCCUCCUUUAUAUAGAGCCAUCUUCACACAAAUUCCGCAAGGUAGAAAAGAGGAAUGAAACUUGGAGCAAGGUUCGACUACUGGUUGUCGCUUGUCAAGGCUGGAAUUGAACUUUUUUUCUUGGCUUUUCUGGGCAUAGGUAGUAACUUGUGGUUCCUUUUUGGAAUGAAAAUGGUACAGCUAGAACAUGUGGCACUCUCUUGUUGGAUUAUGUGUCAAACAUGUGGCAGCCAUCUAGUGGAGAUUAUUUCAAUUUUGGGAUGGAGAGUUGGCAUCCAAUUGCAAAGAAAUAUGACAUCUACCAACAUGCAAUGUAAACCUAUAUAGAUCAUAUGGAGAUAGAGAGGAAACAUAUAGAAAUGGAUAUAUACCUAGAACUAGCUUUUUAUUAAAUGAGACGGAGAGCCAACAAUGAAGGAAAAUCAAAAUUUUUGGCUCAUAUCAAAGAAUUCACAUUGUGUUACCCUAGGUUUUCUUAAAGCUUGCACAAAGCCAAAAAGCACACAAAAAAUUAUAUUUUCUAGCUCUCUACCUUGGAUGGUCUCUUGAUCCUACUUGGAGAUGUGCAUAAAUAAAAGGAUUUGAAAAUGACAAUUGACUAAGUAUGUAGUCAAUCAAUUACUCAUUAAUUGACUAGUUGAUCAAUUAACUUUGCAACAUCAUAUGCAAUCCUAAUAGCUAGUCAUCUAAUCAACUAGGUAGUAAAUCAAUAGGCCAAAAAUAUGUUUAUAAUGACUAUUUUGUACAAAAACCACCUAUAUGGUUAAAUAUAAUGCAUUUCAUUUAUAAAUCUUCUAAUUCUUGAAUAACGAUCCUAUCAUCCUUUGAAAGUUUUUAUUACACCUUUUAUACUUUUGUUCUAAAACUUACACAUGUACAUCACCCUUAAUUGUACCAUGAGAACCUAGCUUUUUUUUUUUUUUUUUUUGUAAUUCAUCAAAGUUAGCUUUUGUAUUCAUUACUGUACUAUUUUUAUUGUAACUUAGAAAGCGAGUGUUUUCAAGUGAGUGAAAUUGACUUAUAAAUAUUGUAAAGAUUCAUUGAUGUGUAUCUUAAACUAAGUGUACAAGUUGAAACAUUUGCUAGUAGAUUUUCUCAAGAUUUAGAAUAGAGCUUGAGGCUAUUGAAAUAGGUGGGGUUGCACCAAACCACAUCACAUUGUUGUUUGCACCUUUUUUUCACUCUCUUUUACUUAGUUGCUCUAUAUUUGUUGUCUAGUAAUAUCCUAUAGGCUUGAUGGGUUAGGGAGCAUCCCUUUGUGAAAAAUUUUCAUUCAAUCCUUAGUUGUAUCACGCAUAUAUAAAAUGCCUCAUUGUUUUAAUGGUAUUCAGUCGUGGCAUCACAGAUAUGGGCAUCUAAAUUUUAAAAGUUUGAAACUUUUAUCUAAAGAAAAUAUGGUGCUUUGCCUUUUUGUAAAGCAUGUUGAUGAAAUCCAUGAGAAUUGUGUACUUGGGAAGCAACAUCGAGAUGACUUUUUUUUUUUUCAUUUUUUAUAAUGCGACACCUAAGUCCGGUUUCUAAAUGCUGAAGUGAAAGGGUAGGUAUGGACCAUUGAAAUCUGAUCACAACUUUUGGCCUUUUCCUUUCUCUGCAGCCAUGUUGUCUCUUUUUUCUUUUGCAUGAUUUUCUUACCUAAACAGAAUCAUAGACUUGUUUAAUCUCUAAAUGGUAUUUCAUCCAGCUUUAAGCUACUGUAUUAUAUCUUGGUGGAGGACUUUUAAGAGUGAAACCGACAUAGAGCACAUGCAAGUGGGUAUAUGGGACAUGAAAUUUCUUCUUAUAAAGACUGCAUGGUUUUUAUAUUAGAGUUGUUGAGGCGCAAUGUAUUUAGCUUGUUUUGCAGUUAAAUUAAUUGGAUAAGUAGACAUUGUCGUUUCUAAAUUUCCCACCUAAGAUAGUGACCUUAUCCUUGACUGCUUGAUGAGAUACACAAACAAUUAUACCUUCAAAAUCUACUGUGAAGUGCUUCAUGUAUGUGUGAAGUAUUAGAAAUUUCUUUCUUGGCAACUUGUUUUUUCUUUGCCCUCUACUGAUAGGUUUGACUCAAAUUAAAUUCCCUGUCAUGCUAAUUAAUUUUCACGUGCAUGCUCAAAAGGAUCACGUCAACUCUGGUUUCUACUAUUCAGGUCCAUUCCCAGAUAAACUGGUUCAAAUUUGAGAAAAUGGCAACAGCCCUUUAGUGAUGUUGGUUUGGAGCCAGUAGCCAAACCCGCCCUGAGCUUUACCACUAAUGUCAAGGGACAAAGCCAUUUGAACAAAAACAAUAGCUUCAAGAGACUGAAUCGUGGAUGAAAUCUGAUCCACAUUUCUUCUCAUUUUGGGAACAAAUGAGAACUUAACUACAAAGAUUCUACUGCCUCAUAGUGCUUUUCCUGAUCUAAGGUUGGUUCGUUUCCCAAAUUGUGAGGUACGUGCCAUUCUCACGCUCAGGAGUGUAUCCACGUGGUGGACAUAAGAUGGUGGCUUAAUAUCUGGUGUCGGUGGCUUUACUUUACUAGGAGAGUAGUGUGUCUUCAUCUCAUUCACUGCCGGAGGGUGGCGUAAGCAGUGACGCUAAGGUGGGGCACAGUCAAUAUCAUUUGCAUUUGACCAUUAUAGUUUUCUCCCGGCUUGAAAGUAACCUUAUCGUGAUAAAGGAUUACUAGCACUAGUUCAGAUGACAGUCAUGUUAAAUUCGGACCAUGUUUGUGUCACAUUAUCAGCAACCAUGUGUUUAUGGUUCAUGCUAUCUGCAACUAAACUUGAUAUAUAACCACGUGAACUUCAAUCUAAAUUCUGGAAGUACUCUUGUGAUAGAUGGUGCCUGUCUGCAGAGUCCAUCAAUUGAAAAAUGGAGUGAGUGUAUCUAUAAGAGGGAAGGCUUGGCAAAUGUUCAGUUUUCUGGGAACUCAACAAGGAUCUAAAAUAGAUUGUUUUCUUUGCUGAUUUCAAUGGUUGAAAUUUGAGAAGAUUGUGUCCACAUAACACAACUAUUACUGGUCCUUCUGUUGCAAUUUAUCCUCUAAGGCUCUAACAUGUCUUCCAAUUCCCACUUCCCUGUUACUCCAGGAAAGCUAUUUCUGUCAUUGUGAAGAAGAAAAGAGAAUGUACAUAUCGAUGGUUUUAAGUGACUGGGGCAUUCAUAUCAGGUGGUCUGCAGCCAUAUAUGCCACUUUGUGAAGGUUGGAACAGUCAAUCACCAGGCUAUAUUAGUGUGGCCCAGCCACUUCAAUCAAGGACAAGUCUUCAUACUUAAAGUCAAAUUCUGCCUUUAGUCUCAUUAUAAAUUGCUGUUUAAAUAUUAAGCAAACAUUUGUUUAAUGCGAUUAAGACAGUACUAACUCAAUACUUGUUCUAUUUUUGGAUGCAAAUGCUUGAUGGUUUCAUCAUUGGAUGGGAUAAAGGUGCAUUCAUGAUUAUGAAUACUUGUAGUUAUAUUUUCAUUCUCUUUUUUCUCAAUGAGACUUGUUGGCACAAUUUUGCUGUUCAGAAACCUACCUCUCCAUCGAAAAUCAGUUGUGAUUGAUAGUACUGGAUAUAUUCAAGAAAGCUAAAUAUAGAUAGCACCAAAUAUUAUCGAUAUAAAUAGCAUUAACAGCGUACGUAUGUCUCAAUGCUCAUCAGCUAUAAGCAACGGGCAAACACUUACUAUGAGCAACUUGCGUCAAAAUUCCAGAAUAGGACAUAGAAGUGACAGAUCUAUAUAUAUAUAGAACACUGCAUAUGAGUCACAAGAAAGGAAAUUACGGGUGCAUAGCAGCUCUUAUUUUACAUCCUACUCAUACUGAUCAAAGUCACUCAGUUGGGAUGGGUGGGAGUAGGAGGUUUGUGGGGUGGCUUGUGCGGAGGAGUUGGCAGCUUCUUUCCAGGACCUGGUUGCUUCUCUGCUGGAGUUGAAGGAGGCUUAAUCUUCCGAGGUGGCUUGUAUGAGUCUUCAGCAUUCUCAGCAGGAGGGUGACCAGGGUUGUGACCAUAAUGUGGUGGCUUCUCUCCCUUAGGUGGUUUGCCAACUGGGGUUGGUGGCUUGUAUGAGUCUUCAGCAUUCUCAGCAGGAGGGUGACCAGGGUUGCGACCAUAAUGUGGUGGCUUCUCUCCCUUAGGUGGUUUGCCAACUGGGGUUGGUGGCUUGUGUUCUGGGAGUGGCUUCUCCCCCUUGGGAGGUUUUUCCAAUGGGGUUGGUUUGUGUUCAGGAGGUGGCUUCUCCACUGGAGGCUUGUGUUCAGGAGGUGGCUUCUCCACCGGAGGCUUGUGUUCAGGAGGUGGCUUCUCCACCGGAGGCUUGUGUUCAGGAGGUGGCUUCUCGAAUGGGGGAUGCUCAGGGUAAUCAGCAAGUGAGGGGUUGGUGAGAACCACCAUGCCAAGCAACAGGACUAGCAAGUAUGUAGGAGACAUCUUUGGGUUUGGACUUAAGACAGUGGAAAACUGCGAGAAUUCUCUAGCCUUUUAUAGCGGGUCGACCCAGUACUCACAUGACACGUGUCAUUAUGACACAUGUGCCAUGGGGUCGAUUUGGGUCCUACAGUGUUGAAAAGUUGGGCAUUUGAGGUGUGAGCACAACUUUUGGCCUUUGCUUUC
RNAcentral lists this long non-coding RNA (80869 nucleotides) under Vitis vinifera (wine grape). Its description in RNAcentral is "long non-coding RNA (VVIN_LNC001392)". Lineage: Eukaryota; Viridiplantae; Streptophyta; Magnoliopsida; Vitales; Vitaceae. The record is from RNAcentral.